AAAAUGGUGAAAUUGAUGGCUACUUACACGGUGAGACCAGCCAAGGAGACACCGGGAGGCUACAGGUGUUUAUCAGACAGUGAUCAAGUUAGAGCUCUCACUCACGCACCCAUCAUCUACUUUUACCCACCUGUAAAUGUGUCCCUUGAAUCGGCCAUCGAGAUUCUGAGGCACUCUCUGAGUGAGGCAUUGGUGAUUUUCUAUCCACUAGCGGGAUGGUUGCGUAGGGACCCCUCCCCACACGUGGCACACAUCUCCUGAUGACAUGUAGCACACAUUCUCAUCCGGAUUUUCCCAAGAGUACACGUGACGCGCUUCUCCUAUCCGGACUCCCUCAAGAAGAGGCACACGACACUCACAAACAUAACAUCCGAACGCCUGCCACAACGCACCCGGAUGACUGACAUAUACUAUCCGGAUAUGUUUGUCCGGAUCAUUAACUGAAGUAAGCAAGUCUUGCACGUUAUCACAACAGUCUGCCAUGACCCACGUUCCGCCACCUGCAGAGUGAAAGGACAAGAAUGAAGUGACGGCAAGUCACUUCCCACGAUCACUUCCCACGAUCUCUGACAAUCUCAUAGCCUUCCACGAUCUCUGUUAGCCGCCCGUAGGGUAAUGAUGGCCCUGCCACCACCUAGUGGCAUUAUGACAAACCCAAAAUAUCUCCCUACCAUUAAAGAGGGAAACAAAGCUUCUGGUACUAUAUAUAUGAACCUUCACACAAAGGGGAAGGUAAGCUUGUUAUACCUAAUAAAAGGCCAACUGAUUUAUCUCUCUCUAACCAUGGCUGACAAAACCAUCGGAGGGUGCGUCCGGAUACCCUGUCUGGACGCCUUUUGCAGGUAGUACGAUUGAAUCAAGAAUCUAUAUUGGUUGAGAUCGUGCGUCCACUCAUUUGGCAACUACGUGAAUCACCAGGGACGCGAGGCCUCAAUAGGUUGCACUGGAUUGGUGGAGGCCGCCUUGUGCUCGAGUGCAAUGCCUUGGGGGCUCUGCUCAUUGCAGUAGAGUCCGAUGCCAAAAUCGAUGACUUUGGAGACUUCGGACCAACCCAAGAGAUCCGAGCUCUUAUCCCUUCUGUGGAUUAUGACAAGCCAAUCCAUGAACUACCAUUGCUUUUGGUGCAAGUCACCAAAUUUAGCUGUGGUGGCAUAAGUCUGGGCUUGGGAGCAUUGCAUAUCAUGACUGAUGGCCUUAGUGCAUCACACUUCAUCUCGGAGUGGGCUAAAAUCGCCCGUGGCGAGCAACCUAAUAGCUCACCAUUUCUGGAUCGGUCAAUUUUGCUAGCCCCGGAGCAUUUGAGUGCACCAGUGUUUGAUCAUCCAGAGUAUAGUCCUCAGCCCCUCUUGAUUGGGAAGCAAGAUCACAUGGAAGAGCGAAAGAGAGAAAGCGCUACACUCACGUUAAAAUUAAGCAAAGAUCAAGUUGAGAAACUGAAGGACAAAGCCAAUAAGGAUCGGAGUGCUUCCAACAACAAGCGCCCCUACACCAGGUAUGAGGCUGUUGCUGGACACAUCUGGAGGAGUGCGUGCAAGGCACGUCAGCAUGAAAGCCAGCAGCCAACAACAUUGUCUAUCAUCGUUGAUGCUCGCAAUCGCAUGGAGCCACCAUUGCCACCCAGAUAUUUCGGAAAUGCUACUUUUCGGGUAACUGCUGAAAGCACGUCAGGGGAGCUAGUCUCCAAGCCAUUAGGCUAUGCUUCAGGUAAAGCACGACAGGCAAUAGAGAAGGCAACGCAUGAAUAUUUACAAUCAUCUCUUAUGUAUGUGAAAUGUCAGGAGGAUGUAACUCCGUUCAGGAAUUUCAACACCGUUGGAUGCGCCAAAGGAGCUUUCUAUGGGAACCCUAAUCUUGAGAUCACUAGCUGGGCCAGACUGCCCAUUUAUGGGGCGGAUUUCGGGUGGGGCGAGGAAAUUUACAUGGGUCCAGGAGAAAUUGGCUACGAUGGGAAGGUUUUCGUAUUUCCGGGCCAGGGCCUAGACGGAUCAUUCCUUGUUGCAUUGAGGCUGCAAGUACGCCACAUUGACGCUUUCCAGAAAUUCUUCAACGAAGAUAUUUGUAGUCAAAAACCACUUUCAAUUAAUCCUUCAUUAUAAAAUAAAGAUAAUGUUGGAAUUUCCCUUGAUCAGUUUUUCUUUGGUAGAUCUUGUUCAAUAAAGCUACUCUUUCUUUUAUUUUCAAUCUGAUUUUCCAGACACUUUCUCUCUUUAUACAAAAAAUGAAAAAAUGUUGUGUCUUCAGAAUUACGCUCUUCACUCUGCUCUCUCUUUCCCGUUAGAAGAGAAUAUAAUAGAAAAAGAAACUAACUAAUCAUUUCAGAUAACUAAGUGGCAGAAAUUAAUGAGUCAUACUUAUAACAGAUAAAUACAAAUAACUCAAAGAUAAGAUGGUAUAUAAGAAAAAACUAAAAUGUUAACAAGGCUACAAGCUUGAGAUCAACUGUGUGAUAUAUUUUCAAACAUGCGCUCACAGGCUGUGGUUGACUAAUUCUAUAUACACAAAUUUUAUCUUUUACAAAAUCAAUGAAUAAAAUUAAUUAUAUAUACACCGAAUGCAAUUUUACAUGUACAUCCAUAUGUUGUACGUGCAGUACAAUGGAGAGUUAUUUCCUAGCCCAAUUAUUGUUAUUUUUUUAAGAGUUUCUUCAAAAAAAAAAAAAAAAACUCUAGAUUUUGGUUGUAGAACGCGGGCAAAGUUGGUCCUUUCUAUGUAUGGGUCGUUUCCAUGCAUGUCUACGUCAAAGUCAGGCUGUCUAUGACUCUGGUAUUUUGAUUUGCCAAUUACCUGUGGCUGAAUUAGAACAGCCCAGCGUCCGGCCCCGUUCCUUAUCCUGGCCCAGCCCAGCAGAAAUUUGUCUGUCUUUUAAGGGAGAGUGCGCUACCAUCACUGCACUAAGGGCCACCCACAUGCCGUGUACUCCCUUUUUUUUUUCUUCUCUUUCUUUUUUCUUUUUUGAGGGCAGUAUCGAAAAACACCUUCGUUGCCUUACAAUUUUCCCAAUAAUGCAAGUAGUACAACUCAACGAGACCAAAUAGAAAGUACUGAUGUUAAGUGCCAAUAAUGCAAGUAGUGCAACUCAAUGACACCAAAUAGUGUCAAGUGCAACAGUUGUUCCUUGAUGGCCACUAUGUUCAACCGUAGAUUGAAAAAUCGGUUUUUUUUUUUUUAAAUUUUUUUAUUUAUCAAAAUUGGUUUUUAUCAACUAUAUUUAAUCGAUAUAUUGGAUAUUUGACAGUCCCGAAAGGAUAUUGAGUAUCGAUUAUCGAAUGAAAGGAAUAUCAAAAAAAUAUCAGCUUGAUUUUUGAACCGAUAAAUCGAUAGAAACUUGUCAAAAUAAAUCAGAUCGAUGGAGGCCUGUCAAAAUAUCAAAUAUAUAUGGGUGAUAUAUCGGAUAUAUCAGCAAAUAUAUCAAACAUAUCUCUGAUAUAUCUAGGAAAUAUCGAAUAUUUUUUUGAAAGUUUUUUUUUAAAAAGUAUUUAUCAUUUUUUUAUUUUUCAAUUAUUCAUUUUUAAUUUAUUUUUUAUUUUAAAUUUAUAUUAUCAUUUUAUUUAACUAAUUUUAUAUUUAUCUCAUUAAUGCUAUUUUAAAAAAUUACUAUCACUUCAUUUUUUUUAUCCGUUUAAAUUUAUUUAAUUUUAAAUAUUUUUAUUUUAAAAUAUUAAAAAUAUAAUUUUACUAAAAAAUUGAUACAAUAUAAAAAAAUUAAUGAAUUCCUAAUAUUCUAUAAAUUAAAAUUAAUUUGAUAAGAUAAAUUAGUAAUAAUUUUAAUUAUUUAAAUAAAUUAAUGUUAAUAGAAAAUUUGUCACUUGUAAUAAAUUUUUAGAAAUCAAAUCUCAAAUAAAAUAUUUUAUAUAAAUAAAUUUAAUUUUUUAUUUAAAAUGUAAUAAAAUAUAUUUUAAUAAAAGUAUUUUAAUUUUUAAAAUAAAUGAAUAUAAAUUUAUUAAAGGAAUUUAUGCUAUUUUUUUUAUAAAAAUUUGAUAAAUAUUAUAUGUAAGAUUAAAGAUAAUAUUUAUCAAAUUUUUAUUAAAAAAAAUUAGCAUUACUUACUUAUUUUAUCAUUUUGUUUUUUGGAGUUUUUUCAAGCAUUAUUGUGAAUUUUGAAUAAUUUUCGCAUCAUCGAUAAUUUUGUCAAAAUAUCCAUUGAUAUUUCUUCGAUAUUUUUGUAAAAUCAAGUACUGAUAUAUUUGUAUUUACUGAUAUUUUAAUCCUUGUGUUCAACAACUAGUCUCAGGCCUUUACAUGUGAAAUUUAAUUCCAACUUUUAAAUAAAGAAAUAAAUAUGCUAUGGUAUAUAUAUAAAAAAUUAUGUAUAAAGAAAGACUUAAACAUAAAUGAAUGGAUCAACUAAUAUUCUGUUAAAGAAUUAAAAAGAAAGAAAUUUUUAGAUAGAUGAAUUGAUUUUCAUUGAUUGAUUGUGAUAAUAUAAAGGAGUUUCAAUCAGCGACAAAAAUAUCAUGAUAUAUCGUGUAUUGAGAAGUUCUAACACGAUAUUUUCAACUAAUAUAUCGGGGAGGAGAAAUAUAGCAACAUAUCGCCAAAAUAUCGGUGAUAUAUAGGUUGUAGUCAAUAUAUUAACAAUUUAGAAAAAAAAAACGCCUAUGAAUGCAAAAAAUCAUUAAUAUUUCAACAAUAAAUCGCCAAUUUUUGGGCGAAAAAUCAUCUUACACUAUGAGCAUGAUCUAACGGCCCAAAUCACACCCGUGUUGAUCUGACGCCCCAGAUCACGCUCGUGUGCAACAAUCAGCUUCCUCAUUUGAUCCAAUGGUUGGGAUGACAAUCCAACAACUAUUUCAUGAUUUAACGGUCAGAUUUCGCCUAAAUUUUGAUCUAACAACCAAAAAUAUUUUCCAACGAUAAAAUGAUGCUUGAACAACUUUUUUGACCUAAUUUUUUUUAUUUAUAAAUAGUUCAUUUUGGAUCCAUUUGAUCCACAUUUCAUUGCAUUUGAUCUCUCAUUGCUCAUAAAUUUUUUUAUCAUUAUCAAAUUAUUAUAAAUUUGGGAAAUUAUUAUAAAGAAAGAAAUAUGAUAUGGUAAAAUAAAAUAAAAUAAAAUAAAAUAAAAUAAUGUAUAAAGAAAGACUUAAACAUAAAUGAAUGGAUCAACUAGUGUUAUGUUAAAUAAUUAAGAAGAAAGAAAUUUCUAGAAAGAUGAAUUGAUUUUCAUUAAUUGAUUGUGAUAAUAUAAAGGAGUUUCAAUCAGGAAUGAAAAUAUCGCGAUAUAUCGUGUAUUUGGAGGUUUUGACACGAUAUUUCUAGCUAAUAUAUCGGGGAGGAGAAAUAUCGCAAAAUACCACUAAUAUAUCGACGAUAUAUAGGUUGUAGUUAAUAAAUCAACGAUUAAUGAAAAAAAUCACCUAUGAAAGAGAAAAAUCUCUGAUAUUUUGGCAAAAAAUCGCCUUACAUUUUAAGCGUGAUCUAACGGUCCAAAUCAUGCCCGUAUUAAUUUAAGUUAAUAAGUAAAUUAAGUUUAUUUGGUAAAAUGACUUAAUAAUACGAUUUAAAGUAAAAAACAACUUUAAAUAAUAAGUAAAAAUAAUUAAUUUAUUCUUAAAUUUAUAUUUUCAUUUUUACCUUUUUAUCCUCAUGUGUCCUAGUUACUAUUACAAUUUUUUUUGCUAUUCUAUAACCUCCAUUAUUACUUAACCUCUUUUACCCUAAUUAUAAUUUAUGAGGAUAAAUAUAUCAAUUUGAUGAUUUAGAAUAAAUUUUAAAUUAAUUUUAUCAAACAACCUUAAUAUUUAAAAAGUAAGAGUUAAAUAAUAAGUUCUAAGUCAACAACUUAAGUAUGACAUAACUUAAAGUCAGCUUAAAUAAUUAAGUAAUAAGUUUUAAGUUUUACCAAAUACCUAUAGAACUUUAUUUCAAGAGUAAAAAUCUGAAAUGAAUUACUUGAAUUUGAGUGCAAGCAAAAUAAUUUUUUUUUUCCAUUUUUAAACAUAUAUAACAUGAAAGUGAUAAGUUUGACUUUUCAUAAAAAUAAAACAAAAAAUAAUACUUAGAUGAUUUAGUUUUUUUUUUUAAAAAAAAAUUAGAAAUUUUAGAAACUUUAUGUAAAAGUUAUGUUUGCAUUAUCUACUUAAAAAUUAUUUUGAUAAUAAAAAAAAAAUAAUACCUUAAUUUUUUUAAUUAAUUUUAAAAAUCAUUAUAUUUUUAAUUUAAGCUCUAAAUUUUUUUGUAUUUGUAUAUAAAAAUUAGGGUUAUUUGAUUAAAGGGUUAUUAAAAACUCAAUUUUGAAUAUUUAACCAUUUAUCUUUUUUGACCUCAUUUUGAUAAAAAUAUCCUCAUUCUUUUUUUAAAUAAAUAAUAAUUUAAAAAAAAAUUAUAUAUAAUUACUUGAAAUGAUAAAGGAUAAUUAUAUAUAUAAAAAAAAUAGGUUACAUUUUAAAUAAAAAUAUAAAAAGGAUUAGAUUUACAAAUUUGGAGAUUAUUUUAUCUAUUUUAACCAGUGUUUUAAAAACCUAACGAUCCAAUCGUUCCAACCUAUCACCAAUCCAAUCUAGUUCGGUCUUUUAAGCCGGAUAGCUGUUGAACCGGCGUCAAACUGUCGAAACCGAAAGUCGGACCAGUGAAUCGGCCGACCCGACCGAUUUGGGGUGAAUCGAAUAGUUCGAAAAAAGGAAAAUCAUCUAACCAUACACCAACUACAAAAAAAUAUGAGAUUUUGGAACUUUACUUUUUUCUUUUUAAUUUUGGUGUAAAAUGGGAAAAAAUAUUGUCUAUUCAUGCACUCCAAUAGUGCUUUCAAAUUUGUUCUACAAUUAUCCUCGAAAGUAAAGGACAAAGAACACACCAAUUUAAUACCACCUGUUAACCAGUAAAUGUGUCAUUUAUUUUUAUUAUUUCUCUUACAUCAACAUAUCUUCCUUACCACUUGCCACGUUUCCACUUUUUUUUUUCCUCUCUUGCCACCAUAAUCCAUUGUCACCUAUUAGUUAUUAUUAUUAUUUUUCUUUUCUUUUUCCUUUAUAUUUUUUUUAAUAUGCUCGUGCAUUUUCUCAUAAAACUUCUUUAAUUUUAAUUUUUUUUACUCUCUAAUUUCUCCAUAUUUAUUGCUUUUAAUCAUUUUUGACAUAUUAAACUUAAAAUGAUAAUAUAUAAUAAAUAAUUAAUAUAAAAAAUUAAAUAAAAACAAAAUAUAUAAUGGACAAAAAUGAAAAUAUUAUCCCACAAAUAAUAAUGAUUUUAAAUAUUAAUUAUAAUAAUACUUUUUAUAAAUUAAGGUUUAAAUUUAAAAAUUCCAUUUUAUUAUUUAGAAGUUUAUGAUAUAAGAUUUUUUAUAUUAAUACUAAACAAAAAAUUUAUUUAUUUUGUAAAUUCUAUCACAUGUAAAAGUAAAAAUAUCAUUGUAAUACUAUUUUAUUAUUUACAUUAUUUUUCUUUUAAUUUUCAUUUUAAAUUUAUCAUAUCAAAAUCACAAUAAGUGGCGGUGCUUUUAUCAUUUUUCUUAUGAUUUUAAAUUGAUUGUGGAUCUAACUUUUUUUUUGGUUAAAAUCUUUAAUUUUUAAUUAAAAUAAAAUAUAAAAGAAAAUAUGUUUUUCAUAAAAAAUUGCAUUUAACCUUUUAUAUUAAUUUCAUAAAAAAAAUAGGUACAUUCUUAAAAAAAUAGGUAAAUUAAUGCUUAGGAGAACAUGAAAUACUAUCAUACUUAUCAUGGUGUAUAUAUUCUUUUGGGACCCUCGAUAAGUAAUUGGAGGUCUUUGCCCACCCUAAAAAGAACUUUGGGAUCCUAGGUAUAUCCAUUCUUAGGGAAACCAAGAACCUUAUUUUCAUUUUCAUGGUUCAUAUAUUCCUUUAGGGACUCUUGAGAAGGAAUUAGAGGUUAUUCCCCACCCUAAAACAGACAUUGGAACCCAGUGUACAUCCUAAAGAUAAUUUAGUACAUCAUUUACAAAAUUUGGUACAUAUUUCAUAAAAUUUGGCACAUCCUUAAAACAAUUUUGUACAUCCAAUAUGUGAGCUACCAGGACCUCUAUAUUAUUACCCGUGGUUCGUUUAUUUCUUUAGGGAUCUUUAGGAAGUAAUUAGAGGUCGUUCCCUACUCCGAAACGAACUUUGGAACCCUAGGUACAUCCUUAAGGAAAUUUGGUAUAUCGUUAGGAAAUUUUGGUAUAUCUAAUCCUCGGGCUAUCAAGACCCCUAUCUAUCUUCCCAUGGUCCAUAUUAUCAUUUGAGGACCCUUAGGUAGUGAUUGAAGGUCAUUCCCCACAUCGGAAUGAACUUUGGCACUCUUAGUACAUCCUUUACAAAAUUUAGUACAUCCUUAAAAAUAUUUGGUACAUACUUGAGCUAUUAAAACCUCUAUUUUAUUACCCAUGGUCCGUUUAUUCCUUUAGGGAUCUUUGGGAAGUGAUUGGAGAUCGUUCCCUACUCUAAAAUGGACUUUGGAACCCUAGGUACAUCAUUGAGAAAAUUUGAUACAUCCAAUCCUUGAGCUAACGAGACACUUAUCUCCAUUUCCAUAGUCCAUUUCUUCCUUUAGAGACCCUCGAGAAGUUAUUAAAGGUCGUUCACCAACUCAUAACAGACUUUGGCAACAUUGGUACAUCAUUUACAAAAUUUGUUACAUCCUUCACAAAAUUUGGUACAUCAUUCACAAAAUUUGGUACAUUAUGAAGGAUGUACCAAGGGUGCCAAACUACAUUCUGAGAUGAUCAGCCCACAAUCACUUCCUUAUGGGUUCCAAAAUGAAAUCAUGGACCAUCCAUGUUUAGAUGGGGGUCCUGAAAGCAAUAGGAUCAGAUGUACCAAAUUUAAUGAAGGAUGUACCAAAUUUUCUAAAGGAUGUACCAAAUUUUGUGAAGGAUGUACCAAAUUUUGUGAAGGAUGUACCAAGGAUUCCAAAGUGCAUUCCGAGGUGGGGAUCGACCCUCAAUCACUUCCUUAUGGGUUCCAAAAUGAAAUCAUGGACCAUCCAUGUUCAGAUGGGGACCUCGGAAACAAUAGGAUCAGAUGUACCAAAUUUAAUGAAAGAUGUACCAAAUUUUGUGAAGGAUGUACCAAAUUUGUGAAGGAUGUAGAAAACAUUCCAAAGUACGUUCUGAGGUGGGGAUCGGCUCCCAAUCACUUCCUUAUGGGUUCCAAAAUGAAAUCAUAGACCAUCCAUGUUGACAACCCGACUCUUGGUAGCUUGGCAUGUAAGGGUAUCAACAAAAUUUAUACCUAAGGUCCUUACACUAAAGUAGCAAAGCUACUAUAGCAUAGUGGCUCUAGGAUCGAACACUGGGAAGGGUUUUUACUUUAACUGGUGAAUUUCGGAGAAUGGAGUGAACUUUUCUUAAUAAAAAUUAGGUUAAGAUGAAAACAUAAAAAGAUGAAGGUGUGUAAACUAAACUAACAUGAAAAUAGGUUAAAAGAUGGAAAAAGAAGUUUCUCAAAGCUUUGGAUAGCCAUGCUUAACUCAUUGUGUAAAAAUGGAGAUUUUGGGACUCUUCACCUCGAGUUGGGGAAGCAACUAAGGUGAUGCUUACUUCCCGAACCGGUAUGAGUUUAACAACUGAGUUUUAGUCCUUGAAAACUUACAAAAAGGGUAGCUGAACCUCACAAAUGCUCUUUUAUUGGUAUAGGUCAUCUCCUCGACUUGCAAUACAAUGGCUCGUAGGAGAUAACUAACGAACGUCAGUGGAUCUAACAAUAAGAAUCCACUGAGACCAAAAGCUUAUCAAGUAUUGGCCAUUCAAAGCAAGUCAGAGGGAUUAAAAGCUUUACUUUGAACGAAAACAUUUAUGACGCUCAGCUACUUACAUUCAUGGCUUGGAAAUCUCCAUCCUGACACGGGAGCUUCACAUGGCAUCCAUUACUUCAAGAAACUAAAAGGUUUUAGCCUCUCAUCCUUGGGGAUUUCAUCCUCCAAGGAUGUUUGGCUACUAAGAAAAUGAGAAAGAAAAGAGAAAAGAAACUUAUGAACAAAAGUGCUCUUAUAACUUAUAAAGUUACAGGUUACAAGAUUAGAUGAUCUGAGGCUCUUCACCUCUAUUUAAAGACAAUAACAAGCUAAAUUACAAGAGCUAUUACAAAAGCAACCUAUUCAUUGGUUGAUUACAAGGGUAAAAUAGGUAUUUACAAAGCUAAAAAUCAAGCAAAAUAUCUUGGAGAACCGGUAGUGGAAUAACAUCAACAACGUCUCAAAACAGGGGAUUCAAAGGAAUUUCGCAAUGUGCCUAAAUCCUCCUUGCGAAAUUUUCGCAAGGUGUUUCUUCAUGGUGCGAAGUGGCAAAAUUUCGCACCAUGAAGAAAAUCUCCUUGCGAAAUUGGUCAUUUGACAUGAUGCAGUUGCCUUCUGAAGGCCAUAUCUUCCUCAUUUCAGCUCCAAAUCAUACACGGUUUGAAGCUUUGGAUUCUUGACUUCCUAAGAUUUCAAAUGGUAUAUAGCAUGCAAAAAAUGGACUUUGGGAAGUGCUUCAAAAGUGCGAAAGAAGACUGCAGCUGUUUUCUUCACUCUGUUUUCUUCACUCUGUUCUCUUCACUCUGUUUUCGUCUUCUCCAUUGCUUGUGCUCGUGUUUCCACUUGAAAUUCAAGCCUGUAAUCAUCCAAAAUCCUUGCUUAACUCGCCCAAAUAGCUCCUCCAUCAAUUGGCAUGCUUGAAUCGAUUCAUAAGCUGAUAAAAACAUGUAAACUUGCCAUAAAAUGGUUAAAACCAAUUACUAAGGACCUUAAUGAAUUAAUUGGGUUAAAUGAAUAUGAUUACUACUUAAAGGUGCUUAAAACCAUUAUAAUUAGAUCUACAAAAUAGCACUUUUUGGUAGUAAUCACAUGUUCAGAUGGGGGUCAUGGAAAUAAUAGGAUCAGAUGUACCAAAUUUAAUGAAGGAUGUACCAAAUUUUGUGAAGGAUGUACCAAGGGUUCCAAACUGCGUUCUGAGGUGGGGAUCGACCCCUAAUCACUUCCUUAUGGGUUCCAAAAUGAAAUCAUGGACUAAAUGGGGGACCCAAAAAUAAUAGGAUCGGAUGUACCAAAUUUAAUGAAGGAUGUAGCAAACGUUCCAAAGUGCGUUCUGAGGUGGGGAUCGGCUCCCAAUCACUUCCUUAUGGGUUCCAAAAUGAAAUCAUGGACCAUCCAUGUUCAGAUGGAGGUCGUGGAAACAAUAGGAUCGGAUGUACCAAAUUUAAUGAAGGAUGUACCAAAUUUUGUGAAGGAUGUACCAAGGGUUCCAAACUGCGUUCCGAGGUGGGGAUCGACCCCCAAUCACUUUCUUAUGAGUUCCAAAAUGAAAUCAUGGACCAACCAUGUUUAGAUGGGGGACCCAGAAGCAAUAGGAUCUGAUGUACCAAAAUUAAUGAAAGAUCUACCAAAUUUUGUGAAUGAUGUACCAAAUUUAGUGAAAGAUGUACCAAGGGUUCCAAAGUGUGUUCCGAUGUGGGAAUCGGCCCCCAAUCACUUCCUUAUGGGUUCCAAAAUGAAAUCAUGGACCAUUCAUGUUCAGAUGGGAGACCCGAAAGUAAUAGGAUCGAAUGUACCAAAUUUUAUGAAGUAUGUACCAAAUUUUGUGAAUGAUGUACCAAGGGUUCCAAACUACUUUUCGAGGCGGGGAUGGGUCCCCAAUCACUUCCUUAUAGGCUUCAAAAUGAAAUCAUGGACCAUUCAUGUUUAGAUGGAGGACCCGAAAGUAAUAGGAUCGGAUGUACCAAAUUUAAUGAAGGAUGUACCAAAUUUUGUGAAAGAUGUACCAAGGGUUCCAAAUCGCGAUCCGAGGUGGGGAUUGGCCCCCAAUCACUUCCUUAUGGGUUCCAAAAUGAAAUCAUGGACCAGCCAUGUUUAGAUGGGGGUCUCGAAAACAAUAGGAUCGGAUGUACCAAAUUUAAUGAAAGACGUACCAAAUUUUAUGAAAGAUGUACCAAAUUUUGUGAAGGAUGUACCAAGGGUUCCAAACUGCGUUCCAAGGUGGGGAUGGACCCCUAAUCACUUCCUUAUGGGUUCCAAAAUGAAAUCAUGGACCAUCCAUGUUUAGAUGGGGGACCUGGAAGCAAUAGGAUCGGAUGUACCAAAUUUUGUGAAGAAUGUACCAAGGGUUCCAAACUACGUUUCGAGGUGGGGAUCAGCCCCUAAUCACUUCCUUAUGGGUUCCAAAAUGAAAUCAUGGACCAUCCAUGUUCAGAUGGGGGUCCCAAAAGCAAUAAGAUCAAAUGUAACAAAUUUAAUGAUGGAUGUACCAAAUUUUGUGAAGGAUGUACCAAAGGUUCUAAAGUGCGUUCUGAGGUGGGGAUCGGCCCCAAAUCACUUCCUUAUGGGUUCCAAAAUGAAAUCAUGGACCAUCCAUGUUUAAAUGGGGGACCUGAAACAAUAGGAUCGGAUGUAUCAAAUUUAAUGAAGGAUGUACCAAAUUUUGUGAAGGAUGUACCAAGCAUUCCAAAGUGCAUUCUGAGGUGGAGAUCGGCGCCCAAUCACUUCCUUAUGAGUUUGAAAAUGAAAUCAUGGACCAUCCAUGUUCAGAUGGGGGUCCCGAAAACAUUAGGAUCGGAUGUACCAAAUUUUGUGAAGGAUGUAUCAAGGGUUCCUAAGUGCAUUUUGAGGUGAAGAUCGGCCCCCAAUCACUUCCUUAUGAGUUCCAAAAUGAAAUCAUGGACCAUCCAUGUUCAGAUGGGGGUCCCGGAAACAAUAGGAUCAGAUGUACCAAAUUUAAUGAACGAUGUACCAAAUUUUUUGAAGAAUGUGCCAAAUUCUUGAGGUGGGGAUUGGCUUCGUGUUAUGUGAGGAGUUAGUAAAAGGGAGGUUCACCCAUUAACACCAUGGGAAGACAUUCAAACAUUUACACUGUACCCUUAGAAUCAAUGGAAAUUUUUUUUAUGCAAUAACAUUAGUUUGGUAUGUUAUGUGUAGAAGGCAAUCUAGGAGUGCACCUUCCAUUUGAAAGGCAUGCCUAUGUGUGAAUGACAUUAUAUUUCUGUGCUUCAUGUAGAAGGCAAAGUAGAGGUGCACCCUUUGUUGCAUAGGCAUGCCCAUGGGUAUGAUAACAUUAUUUUGGUAUACUAUAUACCAGUAUGCAAACUAGUGGCACACCCUUUAUUUUAGAGGCAUACAUAUUGCUGAAACCAUUAUAUUGGUAGGCUAUCUGCACUAGUCAACCUAAGACCAUAACCUUCAUGGAAGACGCAUGAAUGUGGGUGAAAAACUUAUUUUUGUUAAACUAUGUGCAGUAGGAAAAAGAUAGGCAUGACUCUCUGUUAGAGGCAUGCCUUUAGGAUGACUAGAUUUGAGGUGUGGGUUGGGCAGUAAGGCAAAUGGAGGCAUGCUGAUAGCUUGAAAAGUUGGCCCUUGACGUUCAUAUGAAAUAAGCGAUGGAAAUGAUUCCUUAUUGAUUUAAAAUCAUAGAUUUUUUCGAAAGAUUUUUUUUUAAAUAAAUAUUUAUCAUUUUAAAUUUUUUAUAAUUGUUCAUUUUUAUUUUUUAUUUUUUAAAAAAUCUAUAUUAUCAUUUUAUUUUAUAUUAUCUUUUUAUUUUUAACUAAUUUUUUAUUUAGCUCAUUAUAGGAAACUAGCUAGUAUAUUUUGUUUCAUUUACAUAAAUUUCAAUCUGCAUUAUAAAAUGGUACCAGUUGAAUCUCUAUACCAAAAAUUUGGUACAUCUAAUCCUUGAGCUACCAGGACCCCUAUCUUAUUACCCAUGGUCCGUUAAUUCCUUUAAGGAUCUUUGGAAAGUGAUUGGAGGUUGUUCCCUACUCUGAAACAAACUUUGGAACCCUAGGUACAUUCUUAAGAAAAUUUGAUAUAUCCAAUCCUUGAGCUAAUGGGACACCUAACUUCAUUCCCAUGGUUCAUUUAUUUCUUUGUACAACCUUAGAAAGUGAUUGGAGGUCGUUCCCCACUUCGGAAUGGAUUUUGGGCCCUUUGGUACAUCCUUUACAAAAUUUGAUACAUCCUUAAAAAAAUUUGGUACAUCCAAUCCUUGAGCUAUCAAAACCUCUAUCUUAUUACCCAUGGUUUGUUUAUUCCUUUAGGGAUUUUUGAGAAGUGAUUGGAGAUCGUUCCUUUCUUUGAAAUAGACUUUGGAACCCCAGGUACAUUCUUGAGAAAAUUUGAUACAUCUAAUCCUUAAGCUAAUGGGACACCUAUCUCCCUUCUCAUGAUUCAUUUAUUCCUUUGCAGUCCCUUGGGAAGUGAUUGGAGGUCGUUCCCCACCUCAGAAUGGACUUUGGUAACCUUGGUACAUCAUUUACAAAAUUUGGUACACCCUUCACAAAAUUUGGUACACCUUUCACAAAAUUUGGUACAUCCUUAAAAGAAAUUGGUACAUCUAAUCCUUGAGCUACCGGGACCCCUAUCUUAUUACCCAUGGUUCGUUCAUUCCUUUAGGGAUCUUUGGAAAAUGAUUGGAGGUCAUUCCCUACUCUGAAACAGACUUUGGAACCCUAGGUUUCGAUAGCUCAAGGAUUGGAUGUACCAAAUUUUGUGAANNNNNNNNNNNNNNNNNNNNNNNNNNNNNNNNNNNNNNNNNNNNNNNNNNNNNNNNNNNNNNNNNNNNNNNNNNNNNNNNNNNNNNNNNNNNNNNNNNNNAAGUGGUCCAAAGUCCGUUCAAAGUGGGGAACGACCUCUAAUCACUUCUUAAGGCUGUCCAAAGGAAUAAAUGGACCAUGGGAAGAAAGAUAGGUGUUUUGUUAGCUCAAGGAUUUGAGGUAUCAAAUUUUCUUAAGGAUGUACCUAGGGUUCCAAAGUCUGUUUCAAAGUAGGGAACAACCUCCAAUCACUUUUUGAAGAUCCUUAAAAGAAUGAACGGACCAUGGUAAAUAAGAUAAGGGUCACGGUAGCUCAAGGAUUGGAUGUACCAUUUUUUUUAGGGACGUACCAAAUUUUGUAAAAGAUAUACCAAAAUAUGUAAAUGAUGUACCAAGGUUGCCAAAGUCCAUUCCGAGGUGGGGAACAACCUCCAAUCACUUCCCAAGGGUCUCCAAAGAAAGAAAUGGACCAUGGGAAGAGAGAUAGGUGUCCCGUUAGCUCAAGGAUUGGAUGUAUCAAAUUUUCUCAAAGAUGUACCUAGGGUUCCAAAGUCCGUUUCAGAGUAGGGAACAACCUCCAAUCACUUCCCAAAGAUCCCUAAAGGAAUAAAUGGACCAUGGGUAAUAAGAUAGAGGUUUCGAUAGUUCAAGGAUUGUAUAUACCAAAUAUUUUUAAAGAUGUACCAAAUUUGUUGAAUGGUGUACCAAAUUUUGUGAAGGAUGUACCAAAUUUUGUAAAUGACGUAUCAAAUUUUGUAAAGGAUGUGCCAAGAGUGCCAAAGUUUGUUUCGAGGUAGAGAAUGACCUUUAAUCACUACUUGAGGGUCCUCAAAGGAUAAUAUGGACCAUGAGAAGAUAGAUAAGGGUCUCGAUAGCCCGAGGAUUGAAUGUACCAAAAUUUCUUAACGAUGUACCAAAUUUCCUUAAGGAUGUACCUAUGGUUCCAAAGUUCAUUUCAGAGUAGGGCAUGACCUCUAAUUACUUCCUAAAGAUCCCUAAAGAAAUAAACAAACCAUGAGUAAUAAUAUAGAGGUCCCGGUAGCUCAUGGAUUGGAUGUACCAAAUUGUUUUAAGGAUAUGCCAAAUUUUAUGAAAUAUAUACCAAAUUUUGUAAAGGAUGUACCAAAUUGUCUUUAGGAUGUACCUUGGGUUCCAAUGUCCAUUCCAAGGUGGGGAACAACCUGCAAUUCUUUCUCGAGGGUCCCCAAAGGAAUAUAUGAACCAUGAGAAUGGAGAUAGGGGUCUUGGUUCCUCUAAGUAGGGACAUACUUAGGGUUCCAAAGUUCCUUUUGGGGUGGGUGGGACCUCUAAUUUCUUAUCGAGGGUUUUAAAGGAAUAUAUACACCAUGAUAAGUAUGAUGGUGUUUCUGGUUCCCCUAAGCAUGAAUUUACCUAUUUCUUUUAAGGAUGUACCUAUUUUUUUUUAUGAAAUUAAUAUAAAAGGUUACAUACAUUUUUUUUAUGAAAAAUAUAUUUUCUUUUAUAUUUUAUUUUAAUUAAAAAUUAAAGAUUUUAACCAAAAAAAAAAAGUUAGAUCUAGAAUCAAGUUAAAAUCAUAAGAAAAAUGAUAAAAGUACCAUCACUUAUUGUGAUUUUGAUAUGAUAAAUUUAAAAUAAAAAUUAAAAGAAAAAUAAUAUAAAUAAUAAAAUAGUAUUACAAAGAUAUUUUUACUUUUACAUGUGAUAUAAUUUACAAAAUAAAUAAAUCUUUUGUUUAGUAUUAAUAUAAAAAAUCUUAUAUCAUAAACUUCUAAAUAAUAAAAUAGAAAUUUUAAAUUUAAACCUUAACUUAUAAAAUGUAUUAUUAUAAUUAAUAUUUAAAAUCAUAGAAUAUAUUAUUUGUGGGAUAAUAUUUUCAUUUUUGUCCAUUAUAUAUUUUGUUUUUAUUUAAUUUUUUAUAUUAACUAUUUAUUAUAUAUUAUCAUUUUAAGUUUAAUAUGUCAAAAAAAUAAUUACAAUCAAUAAAUAUGGAGAAAUUAGAGAGUAAAAAAAAUUAAAAUUAAAGAAGUUUUUAUGAGAAAAUGCAUAAGCAUAUUAAAAAGAAUAUAAAGGGAAAAAAAAAGAAAAAUAAUAAUAAAAACUAUAAUAGGUGACAAUGGAUUAUGGUGGUAGGAGAGGAAAAAAAAGGAAAAAGAAAAAAGAAAAAAGAAAAAAGUGGAAACGUGGCAAGUGGUAAGGGAGAAAUAUUGAUGUGAGAAAAAUAAUAAAAAUAAAUUAUACAUGUACUUGUUAACAUGUGAUAUUAAAUUGGUGUGUACUUUGUCCUUUACUUUUGAGGGUAAUUAUGGAACAAAUUUAAAAGCACUAUUGGAGUGCAUGAAUAGACAAUAUUUUUCCCCAUUUUACACUAAAAUUAAAAAGGAAAAAGUAAAGUUCUAAAAUCUCAUAUUUUUGUAGUUGGUGUAUGGUUACAUGAUUUCCCCUUCGAAAAACCCCUAUCUCCUUCACCCAUCCAGCUCCCUCCUCAAUCGUCGCGACCUCUUUUUUUCUUCCCAGAUUUGCAACUACGCCUCCACCUCCGUCACUUUCCAAUUCCCAGCGUGCGCUCCUCACCCUCUCUCUCUUCCCAGUCCCAGCAUGCGCUUCUCCCACCCUCAUUCUCUUCCCAGUCCUAGCGUGCGCCUCUCUGCGGCGCCACCUAGCACCCUCCCUCCACAUUCCAUAUCUUUCCAGUUCCUAGCGUGCGCCCCUCACUCUCCCUCUCUUCCUAGUCCCAGUAUGCGCUUCUUCCACACUCCUUUUCUUCCCAGUCCCAGCGUGCGCCUCUCCGCGGCGCCACCCAACACCACCACCACCACCACCACCACCACCAAACCCCCCUCCCCCUCUUUCUUCUACUACUGCCCAUAUUCCCCUUUCUUUUUUAGUUGAACUCUCUUCCCCCUUCCCACCUCCAACAUGAACACCUCCCAUUUCAUUUCCUGGUUUUUUUUAUUAAAUUUUUUUUUUAUAUUUUCAUUUACAUUGUCCGUUCAUCUCCAUUAUUAUUUAUUUUAUUUUAUAUUUGUUAUUUUUUUAACUUUAUGAUAUUGUAAAACUUGUGAUUUUAAUUUAAAUUAAUGAAAACAUCAUAAUUUUAAAUAAAUUUCUAUUUUUAAAAUUUUAUUUGAAAAUCAUAAAAUUUGUUUCAAAUUAGAAAUUUAAAUUAAGAUAAAAUUUUAAUUUUAAAAUUUUAAAUUUUAAAUUAAAAUUUUUAUCUUAAUUUAAAUUCUUAAUUUGAAACUAAUUUUAUGAUUUUCAAAUAAAAUUUUAAUUUUUAAAUAAUAUAUAAAUUAUAUAUUUAUAUUGUCAUCGGUUCGACUAUAAUCAGACCACUGAUCCAACUAGUGAAUCGUGAAUCGGUAAUUUUUCCAAUUUAAUGAUCGCCGAUCCAACUAGUGAAUCAUGAACCGAUAACUUUUUCGGUUCAAUGAUCCGUUCGAUUUUGAAAGCAUUGAUUUUAACUAAUUAAUUCUAAAAGUUAAUAUAAUUUUAUAUUUCGAAAAUGGAAAAUUAGAAGUGUAUGUAAAUUGACACUUAUUUGUUUAUUUAUAAAUUUUAUUUAUUUUUAUAUAAUUAUUUUUUUUUCAAUAAAGCAAAUGGCUACCUCACUCCAUUUGGAAUUAAGAAUAAGAGUGAAAAUAUACUUAAAUAAUAAUUAAGGUGAGGGUGGGAAAGGUGAGCCACCUAUACUUGAGGAUUUACGUCCCCAAAUAUAAAGCUUUACUAGGUCAUGUCGGCAUAUUUUUCUUAAUAACAGAUGAUUAAGAGAUACUCUAUUUGAUUGAUGAAUUGUUUAUAGGAAAUUUUAGGAUGUCAAGUUCAUAUUAAUUGAAUUUACAAUCUCAAUCAUGAAUAUGUAUAGUGAAAUUUAAACCAUUGAAUGUUGAUAUAAAUAAGUAAGAUCAUUGUACAAAUAAAUGAGAUUAAAAUAUAAAGGAAUGAAAGUAAAGUACAAAGUAAUGAAAAUUAGAUACAAAAUAUUAGUAAUAGAUUAGAUAUAUGACAAGUAGUAAUUAGAUCCAUAUUUUUGGUAGGUAAUGAUUCAAUAUUGGAAUGGGAACUCAUGAUUUAUAAGGAGUGAGUAGUAGAUGGCAAUACCAAAUUUGUUUUGAAAAGGGAAGUAAAUGCGAAGGCACAUUUACUGGACUUGACAUAAAAUAAUUUUAUAAGAAUUUAUUUUGAUUUUGGAACAUAUUUUAUAUUUGUCUAAUUGUUUUUAUAUAGUAUUUUAAUAAUAAUUUAAAAUACGAAGAACACUCUUAUAGUAUAUUUUAUAAGAGCUCGGCCCCAUACCUUGUCCUGACUCCUGUGUGCUUUAAAAUCACAUUAUGCAUAUGCAUCGAACUCAGCAUUUGAAGCUCUUCCAUCACUGCAUUCAGAUGACCCAGCCAAAUCCAGUGGAGUUAGACACACUUGAAGAUGUCACAGCUGGUUUUCCUUGAAAAGGAAGCCCAGAAUUCUUUUAAGUACUUGGACAUUGUCACAUCUACCGAAGGCUUGAAAACGUUGGCUUGUCAUUAUUUUUUCCAUUUCUUAAGGGUUGGUUUUUUAUUUUUCAUUUUUAUUUUUAUUUUUUUAUUUUAAGUAUAAAUCUUUAUAUUUCUCCAUUGUUACAUCUCCCUAUCAAACUUUGGAAGUGGCAUGCCCAAGUAUUCUUCCAUGGGAAUGCUUUUGGAGCAAAUAAUUAAGUGAAAUAUUUUAUUUUUUAACCCAUUAAAUAAGUGUUUGGUAAACCAAUUUAAUAACUUAAAAGUGACUUAAUAACUUAAUUUUAAGUUAUUAAAUAAAUUAAGUAUAUUUGAUAAAAUAACUUAAUGAUAUAACUUAAAAUUCAAAAACAACUUUAAGUAAUAAAUAAGAAUAAUUAACUUACUUUUAAGUUCAUAUUUUUAUUUUAUCCUUUUAUCUCCAUUUAUCAUAAUUAUUUUCAUGAUAUCCUUUGUUACUUCACGACCUUUAUUAUUACUCGACAUCAUUUGUCUGCAUUAUAAUUUAUAUGAAUAAAUAUGUUAAUUUGAUGUUUUAGAAUAAAUUAUGAAUUAAUUUUAUCAAACAAAAAUAAGAAUUAAAUAAUAAAUUUAAAUUAACAAUUUAAGUAUAAUUUAAUUUACUCACAAAAUUUUAGUACAUGUAGGCUUAGAAUAUGAUAUUUAGUUGUUCUUUUUAUAAUAUUGUAAGCAAAUGUUCUAAAAAAUUUUGUACUAUAUAAAUUUAUAAUAUUUUCAUUCCAAAUGAACUUUAAAAAUUGUUUUGGUAGAAUUUUGGAUAACAAGUUUUUAAAACAUUAGAAAAAAAAAAAAAGGGGUUACGUGGGGUAUAGUUUGGUCGUUUCUAUUCAUGAAGAGGGGUUGUUUCAGGCAUAGUUUUCUUUGCCUACUCUCCUAUCCUUUAUUGGCUAAAAAUUAGAACACAUCAAGUCCCCAUACCUUUGUAGACAUAAAAAAAAAAAUAAAAAAUAGUGGAUUAAAUUACCACUAAUUUGGUCUUCAAAAUGAAUAAAUUAAAAAAAAAGAUAUCCUUUUAUGGAUAAGUUUCCCUAAUCUCCAAAUAUAAAAAUAAAAAUAAAAAUAAAAAUAAUAAUAAAAUUAUUAUUAUUAUUAUUAUUAUUAUCUUGUUGGUAAAAUCUCCCAAGAGAAGAAAAAUUUGCUAAAAUCAAGGAACUAAAUCCCUUGAAUUAAGCAACUAAAAUUUGGGAAUUUGAAAUUCAAAUUCCCUAUUUUCACCUAUAAAUAGAGGUGUCUUCUAUUACGAAGGGGGAAAGAAAUUUAGAAAUCAGAAAAUCCAGAAAGGAAAAUCUUAAGAAGAAAAUUCAAAGGAGACUUCAUCCUUGAAAAGAGGUUUCACAACAAAAGAAAAAGUUUCAUCAAAUCUUCCUACAAGUUCGAUAAACGAAAAAAAACCUACUACACGCGUUCUUUGCCAUUCAAGGAGUUCAUUCAGGAAUAAGCCACUUGUGGCCCUCGAUUGAUCUUCGAAAUCAAGAAAAUGUCAUCGUCAUCUUCCGAAGUGUGAUCAAGGCAAAAGAAUCAAAGGAAAAAUAUUCUUUUGGAAAGAAUAUUAUUUUUGAGAUUGUACCCACAAUAUUUUUAAUUUCAAUAAAUAUUUUGCUCACAUUAUUUUCCUAUUUGUUUUGCUAACUUUGCAAGACCAAAAUUUACGAAAUUUGUGCGUACAAAUUUCUGGCAUGCUCUGUGGGACAUCUUUACCUCUCAUCUCUUUCAUUAGAAGAUUUAUCACUACUACAUCGAUGACACCCAAAAGAACUCAAGUUGUGCAUGUCAACAAGGACAAUGAUAAGAUCGUCAUUGCACAAUCAAAACACGACGCCGCUACGGGCCCCAUGACUCGUAGCAAAGCAAAAUCAACAUCUUCACUCUCAACAAAACAAACAAGUGAGUCCGCUUGUUUGAUAAAACUGGUAAGAACGCGUGAUGAGCACUAACCACUCAUCACCUUGGUCUCUGAGGGGGAAAAGAGCCAUAGUCCUCAUAGUAGGGGAAAACUUCCUUUAACACUGAUUUGUGCCCACUUGGUGUAUCAGCUGAUUCAUCUCCAGCUGGUGCUCCUUGAUUGAGGGAGUAAUCAACAAAAUUUAUAACUUAUUACACCAUGAACUAGGGUAGCAAAGACAAAGCUACUAUAGCAUAGUGGCUCUAGGAUCGUUCACUGGGAAGGGUUUUCAAUUCAUAAAUGAUACCAAUUCAAAGAUGAAUUGGUGCCUUUUAAUUUCAAGGUUAGCUUAAGAAAUAAAACACAAACUUUGAUUGAAAAAGGGUUUAGGUUUGAGCUAACAGCAAAGGAAUUAAUGGAAAUUACUUAUGAAGAAAAACAUUCCUUGGAGGUUUAGGUUCAUAGGGGAGGUUCCUCGUGCAAAAACAGAGCUCCGGUCAUUUGGUUCAUUUCCUCGCAUUAGAGAAUUAACAUAUAGUCAAUUCUCUAACCGGUGUUGUACAAAUGCAUCCUUUAAAUGGAUUUCAGCUCUAAUUCCCUCUCACUGAUGCAACUUGCAAUGGCUCGUGCCUUUCACCUAACAUUUGCCAUUCAAGGUAAUCUUUAACCUUGGAUUACCCUUCAAAAGCUCGCAAGAGAUAACUAAUGGAUGUCUCCUUGGAGUCCAAAAGCUUACCAAGUGUUAGCUAUUCUAGAAAAUCCUACCUUCAAACCACCUCCCAAAGGCUCGCAAGAGAUAAACUAGUGUAUCUCAAUGGAUGGAGAUCACUUGCCUUACCAAGUGUUGGCCUAGGUGAUUUAAAGGCGUUUUAAGUUAACUAAAAACAUAGAAAUCAUUAAAGGAUCACACUUUCUCUUCAUUAAUGGCUGAAACCACAAAGCUACUAAUUCUUGCACUUGGAACCUUUCCCGGCAACCUUAACUCCAAGGAACUAAAAGUCUAGCCACUCAUUCUUUGAGGAAACAUCUUCAGAGCUUGUUUGGCAAGUAAGAAAAAUUAAAUGAAUAUAAACAAUCAAAAUAAAUAGGUAAGGUAGAGCAAAGGCUCUGUAUUUUACUUCCUUCCAAAAACUUGUACAAAAGAUAUAGAUUAUUACAAACUAUAUAUAAGGGGUUAUUCACCUUUUGUUCUUACUUAAAGACUAAGAAAUCCUAUGAUAGGUGGGUUACAAGGAGACUUUGGGGAUUUAGACAUCAAAUAUCUAAAGAAAAAUAUCUAAAUGUUGGUUGCAUAUAUCGGGAAGCUUCAGGAGAACACCGCGGCACUGUGCAAAAUGGCUGCGAAAUUCUCCGGGUAAGCGUUAUUAGAGGAUCCGGAUAUGUAUAUCUGGAGAAGUUGAAACGCCCUGGUCUCCCAUCCGGCUCCUGAAUUCCGGAUGUGAUCCGGGUGGAAUGGCGGCAGUCGGAUGUAAAGUGGCAGCAGCCGGAUGUAAAGUGGCGUCAGCCGGAUGUAAAGUGGCGGAGCAGAAUUCCGGAUGUCAUCCGGGUAAAGUGGCGGUAGCCGGAUGGAAUUCCUACCCGGGUGGAAUGAGCUGGAUCCCAUACUCCUUGUAUUCUGGAUUUGCUUAUGGAUUCCAAAGAACUCUCCUCAAUCUUGGAUUGCUUUGGUGAUCAAAAAGCUAUCAAAACACCAAAACUUAACACAAUUUGAUUAGAAUUGAUUGCAAGGGUCCUUAACAUGUUAAUUGGGUUAAAAGGUGAUAACUACUACUCAAAAGUGUUUAAAAGAGUUAAUUACAAACUAUGAAAUAGCACUUUUUGAGUAGUAAUCACUCCCCCCAACCAAAAUAUUGCUAGUCCCUUAGCAAUGAAGGAGAGAAAAAUAAAAAUAAACAGUACUAUAAUUUACAACAUCAUGCUGAUCAAAAAACAAUUUCCAAGUGGCAUGAUGAUCUAACUCUCACAUGGAACAUUAAAGAAAUAAAACUCAAACUUCAACAAGAGUUAUCAAAUAACUUGUCUAAUCACUAUUCUUAAAGAGAAGGCAUUAUGCAAAUUUAAGCUUUAAAAUCAUUUCCACUUCCAUAGGAUCAAACUUUACUCUUCCAUAAAAGUCUAAAUGUGAGAUGAUAGUUUCCGAAUAUAGUAUGCUAAACUAAUCUCUCCCCCCCAACCUAGCUCUUUUCAACACUUAGCAAACUGACCAACUUCAAUAGGCUAAGAACGCACCCUUUUAUUUUACAAUUCUUUUCAUUGUAGGAAUACAAAGCUUAAAGGUAUUCUUUUCUAAAUUUUCCAUGUAACGGGGGUCCAUCGAUGACUCCCAACCAAUUAAGGUUUAGGGCAUCAAGCUUUAAGGAUCUUUCAACCACUAACUCCUCGGACUUUACCUGGGACUUUUGAGAAUGAAUUUUAAAAUACCCAAGCACCUACAGUAUGUUAAACUCCACCUAUUCACCCUUGUAACGAGCAUUGAGGUCGGUGACUCCCAACCAAUUAAGGCUUAGGGCACCAGGUUUUAAAGAUUUUCACCAUAUACCCCUCAAACCUUGCUCGGGUUUCAAGGCAAGUAAACAUUUUUCUUUCUUUCUUUCUUUUUUUUAAAGACUCAUUGGCCUUUUAUAAGGUGUCCCAACACUAUUAAAUGAGGUCAAAGGUACCAAGUCUAAAAUUUUCCUAAGUUAAGAGGGAAAUAGUUUUUCAUCUUAUAAUCAGAAUCUAUUAUGCACAGUGUGUGAAUAGCUUAAAGUGGAAGAACUAAGCUUGAAUUCAAUAGAAACUUCAACAAUUCAUCAACUUUAAUAAACAUAAUACAAACUCUAAGUCAAGUAAAAAGACAAAAAUUCAAUUUCUCCCAUUUCAUUUUGAAAAUUUUUCCUUAAUAACCAUGGAGAGUAGAAUAAAAACUUUAAAAAUUUUAAAAAUUAAGCAAAAAGCAACUAAAUUACCAAAAUAACUUAGCAUUAUUAACAAAAACUUCCUUCCUCAACUCUCCCCCCAACCAAGCUGAACAUUGUCCUCAAUGCGAUAAAAGCGAUUGAAAAAUAGGGAGGAAAUGGUACUUCCUGAGUAGUAUGAAGUUCAAGUAGAAUAGGAGAACCCACAUGUUUCAAAAAACAAUAAAAGAUAUGAGUAGAGGAAUUAAAAUAAUAUAAUGCUAAGUGUGCUCACAAAUGAUAGAGAUUUGUAUUACUUGAUGGCAGUACAAUUUUAUAUCAAAAACAAGCAAUACAACCAAUCCCACUAUAUAAUACCAAAAAGAUGGGAUUUCUUAAAGGAAAUACAUAAAGUAAAGUAUGUAAAUGAUCAGAAAUGGGGAGGAUGAUGCUGGUAAGCUGAUGGCUCAGGUAGAUGUCUCUGCAUCUUCAGUAGCCGGCUCAGGAGGGGCAUGGGGCUCUGUGGCCUCUGAGUGGGGCACUGCAGUGGUAGGGGUGAGAUGCUCAGUAGCUGAUGGAAGACCCAGAUGGUGCUGAAGCUGCCUCAGGAUGGCAGUGUGUUGAGUCUGGGUGGUCAAAAUCUGCUCCUGGUGAGCACGAAUAGCUGACAUCUCCUGAGCAAGGCUGCUCUGAGUCGCGGUCAGUGUCUGCAAUGUGUGGCAUAGAUCUCUAUACUCUGAAAGGGGUAUGGCCAUCCUAGGCUCGGCUGAAGUAGAGGGCUCUGAUGCAGCUGGAAUAACUGGAGGGGUGCUGUGGGUGGCAGGAAAAGCAAAGGGUAUACCCUCAGGUAUGGCCUCUGGAGAUGCUCUCCUGGCAGCUGGUAUCUCAGCUGGCUGUGGGUCCUCUGGCUGCUGUGGUUGUGGAAGCUCUAGACGCUCUGUUCUAUAUGCUGUCAUAUUGGUCCACUUGUCGAGAGUGAAUACCUCUCGGCAUAUACGUCUGCGCUCCAGCUGAGGGUCUGAUGGAUACCCCAGAUGCUCCAAAAUUUGGCAUAGCACUCUCGAGAAAAGAAGUGGAAUAGCAUCCGCUUGCAGCAACUUCUUCCUAUGCACCUUCUCUUCAAAGUAGAGAAGGGCAGCCAUAAUCAGAUGGUGAGGGCCAAAGAAAUAUCCCUCUGAUAUCCUAAACAGGGCCUCUAGCAGAACUCCUCUCCUCUGCACCCAAUGCUGAAGUGGAUAAAUGUUGUGGCGCAGGAGUGCAUCAAUGAAGAACAUGCUCGGAGGAAGUUCCUUCCUCAACAGAUAUGGAUUUGUGGAUGUUCCUCUGGACAAAAUAUGAACCAUUUCAAGCUGGGAAGGAUUAGUCCAUACUCGGUAAUCCUCUAGAUGGGCUGGCUCAUAUGGAAUAUGCAGGGCCUUUGCUAUGUGGCGAGCUCCUAAAAUACCAUGACGUCCGUCAAUGGUGAAGUGGAUAAGAGUAGGAUCUCUGACCUGAUUAGUAGUCAUGGACUGAUAGAAGUCCAUUGCUACUUGGGGAUAGAAAAAAUCCCUGGGGGUCAGCAAAUGCUCCAUGCGAUAUCUGUGCAGUAGAUGGAAUGAGUCUGCGAGCUCCGGCUGAAACCUGAAGGUGGCUGUGUCAAAACAUAGUUCAGAGUGAAAUGGUCGAGCCCGGCAAUCCAAAUUCCCCUCAAUGGGCGGCUGAUCGACCAUCGAACGCCUGAUCAGCACCUCAGGAGCUAUCCCUGAGGGAAUUUGAGACUCUGCAAGUGGCGGCUGCGACAGAUGAGGCUCCGCCGGAGGCUCUGAAGACAGCGCCAGAGACGGCUCUGGAGAGGGCUUUGGAGAGGGGUCCGGAGACUGCUCCGUUAAGUCAAUUGGCUUUGAAUCUACUACCCUGGCUUUUUUUUGCGGGGGACGGCCACCUGACCUGGUCAGAUAACGCCUCGCCGGAGGACUCAACGGCGCGGGUUUAGCCGGAGGUGGGGUGGCUACUCGUCAAGGAGGCUCUGAUGUGGAGCCUUGAACAAGCGCCUCUCGCGCGACUCUCUUGCGGCCAGACAAAAAUGAUGACUUUGCUCCUCUGGUUCGCGCCAUGGCGGAUUGAAGAAAAUGGCCGGAGGUGAUGGCCGGUGGCUCGCGCGGCUUCGGGCUCAGGUGAGAGAGCGAACGGACGGUUGCUCUGGUGUUCUUCCUUUCUGAAACCUUUUGGCAGCUCAAAUGACCAGUUUUUAUAAAAAAUAAAGGAAUAUCAAGGGUCGUUUUGAUUUUCGCAGAGGAAGGCCGAUUUCGCAGCAAAAGGUCGUUUUUGCAAUAAAAUGUCAUUUUCCCAGCCCAUUUGCAGCUGCAAAAUGGGGGGGAACUAUGUUGCGAAAUGGCACUCGUGUGCCAAGAGGGUGCUUCGCAGCUGCGAAAAUUUUCGCAGAGAGGGGCUUGAGGGUGCGAAAUGAUUUCGCAGCAAAGUGGCGAUUUCGCAGAGGCUUCUUUUAGGCUGCAACAUCUCGCAGACCCCUUUUUUUCCCCUGUUUUACACUCUUUCUUGCUCCAAACGACUUUCCUUCAAUUUCUUUGUAAUUUCUCCUACAUGAGAUCAUUCAAAAAGACUAAGUUACAUAUAAAUACACAACUUAAGACCAAAAAUUAAAAUCAAAAGAAUUGAUAAAGCUUUGAAAUUAAGAAAAUUAACAAAAACUUAUGGACUUUGGCGAAACCAAGUCCAUCUAACCCUUCUUUGAUUAGGCUUUCUGUGGCUCAAGGAGGUUGAUUUCCUCAUUUUCUGGUUUGAAUGGCUCAAUGAAUGGCUUGAGACGAUGACCAUUGACCUUGAAAAUGUCAGUACUGUUGGAAUUCAGUAAUUCCACCACUCCAUUGGGAUAUACUUGGUGAAUAAUGAAAGGACCUAUCCACCUUGACUUGAGCUUCCCAGGAAAGAUAUGGAGUCUUGAAUCAUAAAGUAAGACUCUUUGUCCUUUCCGCAAUUCUUUGUUAGAGAUUAGUUGAUCAUGCCACUUCUUCAUCCUCUGUUUUGCAACUUUGGAAUUGAUGUAAGCAUCAUUUCUUAAUUCCUCCAUCUCAUUGAGGUCUAAGCACAUCUUUUCCCCAGCUCUGAUCAAGUCCAUAUUCAACCUCUUGAUUGCCCACCAAGCCUUAUAUUCAACUUCCACAGGGAGGUGGCAUGCUUUGCCAUAGACGAGACGAUAGGGGGACAUGCCAAGAAUAGUCUUAUAAGCUGUUCUAUAUGCCCAUAAUGAAUCAUGUAGCUUACUAGACCAAUCUUUUCUGCUUGUAAUCACCACUUUCAUCAGCAUGUUUUUUAUUUCCCUGUUUGCUAGCUCCACUUGCCCGGAAGUUUGAGGAUGAUAAGGUGUAGCUACCUUAUGCUUCACUCCAUACUUGGCUAAUAGGGUUUCAAAAGGUUUGUUGCAAAAAUGAGUACCUUCAUCACUGAUUAUGGCCUUGGGCACCCCAAAUCUUGAGAAGAUGUUCUCCUUAAGAAAUUUGAGAACCACCCUGUGAUCAUUAUGUUUACAGGGGACUGCCUCCACCCAUUUGGAAACAUAGUCUACCCCCACCAAUAUAUAAGAGUUACCAAAAGACAUUGGGAAAGAUCUCAUGAAGUCAAUACUCCAAACAUAAAAAAGAUCAACUAUAAGGAUGGGGUUCAUGGGCAUUUGAUUUCUUUUUGUAAGCUUCCCGAGUCUUUGGCAUCUAUCACAACUCCUACACAUGAUGUGGAAAUCUUUGAAAAGCGAUGGCCAAGUAAAACCUGAUUGCAAGACCUUCAUGGCUGUUUUCUGAGAGGCAAAGUGGCCUCCACAGGCAUUCUCAUGGCAAUGGCUGAGGAUCCUUUGUUGCUCUUCUUCAGGGACACACUUUCUUAUGAUCUGAUUUGCACAAUACUUGAAAAGGAAGGGCUCUUCCCAAUAAUAAGCAUGAAUCUUUCCAAAGAAGUGCUUCCUGUCUUGCGCUUUCCAUUCACUUGGAACUUCACUAGUAACCAAAUAGUUAGCAAUAUGAGCAUACCAAGGAGCUUUCUCUAGCAACAUAAGUGAUUCCUCAGGAAAGUCAUCAUUAAUAGGUAAUACAUGAGAAUUAUGUGCUAUAACCAACCUUGAAAGGUGUUCAGCUACCACAUUCUCCACCCCUUUCUUGUCUCUGAUUUGGAGAUCGAACUCUUGUAACAAAAGAAUCCAUCUAAUCAACCUUGCCUUUGCAUCUUGCUUUGUCAAUAAAUACUUCAAGGCUGAAUGGUCAGUGAAAACAAUGAUGAAAGACCCUACCAAAUAAGCACGAAACUUGUUUAAAGCAAACACCACAACUAACAAUUCUUUCUCUGUAGUUGUGUAGUUUCUUUGAGCCUCAUUCAAUGUUUUGCUUGCAUAGUAGAUCACGGAGGGCUUCCCAUCUUCUCUUUGGCCAAGUACAGCUCCUAUAGCAAAGUCACUGGCAUCACACAUUACUUCAAAGGGUAAUUGCCAGUUAGGAGCCCUUACUAUUGGAGUUGUUGUUAAGAAUUGCUUCAGUUGAUCAAAGCUAUUUUGACAUCUUUCAUCCCAUAUAAACUUAGCAUCUUUAGCCAAAAGCUCACAAAGAGGUUUUGAAAGAUUAGAGGAAUCUUUUAUAAAUCUCCUAUAAAACCCUGCAUGGCUAAUGAAUUUCCUUACUCCUUUCACAGUUGUUGGGGACGACAAUUUGACAAUAAGCUCCACCUUUGCUUUAUCAAUUUCAAUGCCUUUCUCAGAGAUGAUAUGGCCAAGAACAAUUCCUUGACGUAUCAUAAAAUGGCAUUUCUCCCAGUUGAGCACCAAGUUCUUCUCAAUGCAUCUGUUAAGAACCGCUUCCAAAUUGACUAAGCAUUCCUCAAAUGUACCUCCAUAUACGGUGAUAUCAUCCAUGAAGACCUCCAUAAUUCGCUCCACCAUAUCACUGAAGAUACUAAGCAUACAUCUUUGGAAUGUUGCAGGUGCAUUGCAUAAACCAAAAGGCAUUCUUCUAUAGGCGUAUGUUCCAAACGGACAUGUGAAAGUGGUCUUCUCCUGAUCUUCAACAUCAAUUUCAAUUUGGAAAUACCCUGAGUAUCCGUCCAAGAAACAAUAAAAAGGAUGGCCAGAGACUCUCUCCAGCACCUGAUCAAUAAACGGGAGUGGAAAAUGAUCUUUCCUUGUCACAGCAUUCAAUUUCCUAUAGUCAAUACACACCCUCCAACCUGAAGUGAGGCGUGUAGCAAUUUCUUCUCCUUUUUCAUUUUGAACCACAGUAAUCCCUAACUUCUUUGGUACCACUUGAGUAGGACUCACCCAAGGGCUGUCAGAUAUGGGAUAAAUAAUACCUGCUUGGAAUAGCUUCAUUACCUCAGUUCGCACCACUUCUUGUAAAUGAGGAUUCAAUCUUCUUUGAGGUUGACGAAUUGGUUUAGCUUCUUCCUCCAUAUAUAUGUGAUGUGUACAAACCAAAGGACUGAUUCCUUUCAAGUCAGAUAUUUGCCAUCCUAUUGCUUUCUUACACCUCUUGAGAACUUCAAGAAGAGAAAUCUCCUGAUGACUGGUAAGAGAUGAAGAUAUAACAACAGGACAUUGAUUAUUUUCUUCAAGGUAUGUAUAUUUCAGCUCCACGAGCAAAGGCUUCAAAUUGAGCUUUAGGGUCUCUUCUUCAGCAGCUUCUCCUUCCUCUUUAUUGAACAAAGGUAGAAUUUCUUCUCUCCUCCUCCAACCUUGUAGAGUAGCAAGCACAUCAGGGGGUUCAAAAAAUCCUUCUUCAAGAUCCCCAAGACUUUCAUUCAGCUUGUCUUGUAUCUUCUGAUUACAGUGCUUCUCCACUAGAGUGUCGAUAAUGCAUACCUCUUCUGGACCUUCUUCUUCUUCCGGAGUGAUUUGCUUUUUAGACAUAUGAAAAAUGUUGAGCUCAAGUGUCAUGUUGCCAAAAGUGAGUUGCAUGAGUCCAUUCCUACAAUUGAUGAUUGCAUUUGAGGUAGCGAGGAAUGGCCUUCCAAGGAUGAUAGGAACUGAAUUAACUUCCUUUACAGUAGGAUCCGUAUCAAGAACAACAAAAUCUACCGGAUAGUAGAAAUUAUCAACUUGAACUAAGACAUCCUCAAUUACCCCCCUUGGAAUUCUUACUGAUCUAUUUGCUAGAGAUAGGGUGAUUGAUGUUGGCUUCAACUCACCAAGUCCCAAUUGCUUGUAGACAGAGUAUGGUAGCAAAUUCACACUUGCUCCCAAGUCUAACAAAGCUUUCUCCACUACCUUUGCUCCAAUCAUGACUGAAAUGGUAGGACAUCCCGGAUCUUUGUACUUCAAAGGAGACUUGCAUUGUAUGAUUGCGCUUACUUGCUCAGUCAAGAAGGCUUUCUUGUUCACAUUCAACCCUCUUUUGAUAGUACAUAGGUUUUUUAGGAACUUUGCAUAUGUUGGAACUUGUUUAAUCAUAUCCAGCAGUGGAAUGUUGACUUUCACUUGCCUCAAUACUUCUAGGAUUUCUGAUGCAUUUUUUAUCCCCUUUUUCCCAUGCAAAGCUUGAGGAAAAGGUGGAGAUGUGCGUUUCUUCAGCAUUUCUUCCUUAAUAAGCUCUUUCUCCGGAUUUGCAUUCACUAUUGAAUCAUGGUCCUCUUUCCUUUCACUGAUAUCGUUCUUCUUUCCUUUCAUUUCCUCCAUCUUUUUUAUCUCUUCGUCUUUCUUCUCUUCAACACAUGGCUGAAGUGUUGGUGGCUCAACCUUUUUACCACUCCUUAGAGUGAUCAAGGCUUUAACAUCUCUCACCUGUGAAGAUUCUCCCUCAUGAGUUUCCACUUCGUGGAUACCCUUGGGGUUUUGGUGAGGUUGAGAAGGAAAUCUACCCUUCUCUUGCACUGUGUUCAAGUUAGUGAGCCUUGAGAUUGAGUAUUGGAGAUUAUCUAUCUUUUGAGAUAGAUCAUUUUGUAUUCCAUCCAUCUUUUUAUUCAACAAAUCAACUCUUUGACUGAGUUGAGAGUUGAUGGAUUUUUGGUCUCCAACAAAAUCUCCCACAACCUUGCUGAGAUUCACUAUUGCUUGUUCAAGACUUGAAGAUUGUUGAGAUGGUUGAGAUGGUUGAGCCGGCUGUUGGUACUGAGAUGCUCUUGGCUUCCAUGAGAAAUUUGGAUGAUUCCUCCAACUUGAGUUGUAAGUAUUUCCAUACAGAGCAUCGUUAUUGGGCCUGAAUUGUCCAAUGACAUUUGCUUGAUCUCCAAACAUUUCCUUUACAGCUGGAAUUGUAGGGCACUCCUCCAUCAAGUGUUCAUUAGAUUGACAAAUAGGACACAGCUUUACUUGCACUGGUGUUUCAGUAACAGCUUGCACUUCAUGCAUCUUUUUCAGUUCUAGCUCCUCCAAUCUUCUUGUCAUAGCCGCAAAUUUUGCUUUCAUAUCAUCAUCUUCAUUCAAGGUAUACAUCCCAGCCUUAGCAUGAAGAGCAUUUGGUUGAGACUUCAUCUUUCCCACUUCUCCUCUGUGCGGUUCAUCCCAUCCCCUUGAGACUUCAGCUACAUAACUCAAGAAAUCCAUAGCUUCCUCAGGAUUCUUACUCAUGAAAUCCCCUCCACACAUUGUUUCGAGGAGUUGCUUCAUUGAGGAAGACAUCCCAUCAUAGAAAUAACUCACCAACAGCCAUGUAUCAAAGUCAUGGUAAGAACAAGCAUUAAUGGCUUUCAUGUAUCUUUCCCAACACUCAUAGAAUUUCUCAUUCUCUUUAGCUGAGAAGUUUGAAAUUUGCCUUUUCAAGCCAUUUGUUCUAUGAGUAGGGAAGAACUUCUUGAGGAAUUCAACUUGUAAAUCAGUCCAAGUACGAAUACUCCUUGGCCUUAAAGAAUUAAGCCAAAUCUUGGCCUUAUCCUUUAAAGUAAAAGGAAAUAGUUUAAGCCUCAUCAGGUCGAUAGAAGCUCCUCCCUCUCGGAAUGUUUUACAAACAUCUUCAAAUUCCUUGAUAUGGGCAUAGGGAUUCUCACUUUCCAUUCCAUAGAAAGUUGGUAGAAGUGGCACAAUAUGGGGUCUGAUCACUAGCUGCUCUGUAGGGGGCACUAUACGUGAUGGUGCACUCAUACGAGGCGGAUGCAUGCGGUCCCUCAUUGAUAUGAAUUCAUUGGGAUUGUCUUGGUGACCAUGGUGACUAUGCUGAUCUUCAGGUGUAGCUUCCAUGAUAUUCAAGCUCAAUUCUAAUUCCUUGUUAUGAGGUAUAUCACGUUUGACAAGCCUUCCUCCACUGUCUCGUAUCCAAUUUGGCAUACACAACUAGUAUCAACUAUAACUAAAAUGAAAAUAAAAGAAAACAGGGCUACCAAAAAAAAAACUAAAAUGAACUAAACUGAAUUUAAAAGAUAUAUUAGAUUAUGAACAAGUAAAGAUACAAUAAAAAAAAAUAAGAAUUAGUAAAAUGAAAGAAAAGUUACCAAACUUGUGAUGAGAAUCACAAGUACUCUGAAAUAGUAUCACUAUGAAGUUGGCACCUUUCUCGGCAACGGCGCCAUUUGAUUCGUGCCCACUUGGUGUAUCAGCUGAUUCAUGUCUAGCUGGUGCUCCUUGAUUGAGGGAGUAAUCAAUAAAAUUUAUAACCUAUUACACCAUGAACUAGGGUAGCAAAGACAAAGCUACUAUAGCAUAGUGGCUCUAGGAUCGUUCACUGGGAAGGGUUUUCAAUUCAUAAAUGAUACCAAUUCAAAGAUGAAUUGGUGCCUUUUCAUUUCAAGGUUAGCUUAAGAAAUAAAACACAAACUUUGAUUGAAAAAUGGUUUAGGUUUGAGUUAACGACAAAGGAAGUAAUGGAAAUUACUUAUGAAGAAAGACAUUCCUUGGAGGUUUAGGUUCACAGGGGAGGUUCCUCAUGCAAAAACAGAGCUCCGGUCAUUUGGUUCAUUUCCUCGCAUUAGAGAAUUAACAUAUAGUCAAUUCUCUAACUGGUGUUGUACAGAUGCAUCCUUUAAAUGGAUUUCAGCUCUAAUUCCCUCUCACUGAUGCAACUUGCAAUGGCUCGUGCCUCUCACCUAGCAUUUGCCAUUCAAGGUGAUCUUUAACCUUAGAUUACCCGUCAAAAGCUCGCAAGAGAUAACUAAUGGAUGUCUCCUUGGAGUUCAAAAGCUUACCAAGUGUUGGUUAUUCUAGAAAAUCCUACCUUCAAACCACCUCCCAAAGGCUCGCAAGAGAUAAACUAGUGCAUCUCAAUGGAUGGAGAUCACUUGCCUUACCAAGUGUUGGCCCAGGUGAUUUAAAGGCGUUUUAAGUUAACUAAAAACAUAGAAAUCAUUAAAGGAUCACACUUUCUCUUCAUUAAUGGUUGAAACCACAAAGCUACUAAUUCUUGCACUUGGAACCUUUCCCGGCAACCUUAACUCCAAGGAACUAAAAGUCUAGCCACUCAUUCUUUGAGAAAACAUCCUCAGAGCUUGUUUGGCUAGUAAGAAAAAUUAAAUGAAUAUAAACAAUCAAAACAAAUAGGUAAGGUAGAGCAAAGGCUCUGUAUUUUACUUCCUUCCAAAAACUUGUACAAAAGAUAAAGAUUAUUACAAACUAUAUAUAAGGGGUUAUUCACCCUUUGUUCUUACUUAAAGACUAAGGAAUCCUAUGAUAGGUGGGUUACAAGGAGACUUUGGGGAUUUAGACAUCAAAUAUCUAAAGAAAAAUAUCUAAAAAUAAAUAUCGAAAGAAAAAUAUCUAAAUGUCGGUUGCACAUAUCGAGAAGCUUCAAGAGAACACCGCGGCACUGUGCAAAAUGGCUGCGAAAUUCUCCGGGUAAGCGUUAUUAGAGGAUCCGGAUAUGUAUAUCUGGAGAAGUUGAAAUGCCCUGGUCUCCCAUCCGGCUCCUGAAUUCCGGAUGUGAUUCGGGUGGAAUGGCGGCAGCCGGAUGUAAAGUGGCGGAGCAGAAUUCCGGAUGUCAUCCGGGUAAAGUGGCAGCAGCCGGAUGGAAUUCCUACCCGAGUGGAAUGAGCUGGAUCCCAUACUCCUUGUAUUCUGGAUUUGCUUAUGGAUUCCAAAGAACUCUCCUCAAUCUUGGAUUGCUUUGGUGAUAAAAAAACUAUCAAAACACCAAAACUUAACACAAUUUGAUUAGAAUUGAUUGCAAGGGUCCUUAACAUGUUAAUUGGGUUAAAAGGUGAUAACUACUACUCAAAAGUGUUUAAAAGAGUUAAUUACAAACUAUGAAAUAACACUUUUUGAGUAGUAAUCAAACACUAUAGGACUUUGAGGAUAAAUCUCCUUGCUCUGUUACUGAUGCCAACUCUAGCAGCGGCUCACUCCAGAUUGCCAACUGGAAUGUCAAAGGAGGAAAACUACUCCAAUCAUUCUGACUAUUUUAUUUCUCCAUUCUCAAUUACUAUGCUGAUAAUGGCAACCGACACUACAUCUAUAGAGGAACAAUUAGCAAAGAUGGCUCGUGCCAUUGCCAAACUCAUCAACACGCUCGAGAAAAAGGAUAUACAGAUAGUCUCCCUCAUAAACAAGGUUGAGACAUAAGUACAAAAUACGGGUGAGUCAAGUUAAGAACUCAACCACCUUCCAAAUGUUGCAUCUUUUCUCGAUGAUGCACCACAUACGUAUAGUACAAUACAAGUUGAGAGACAAACAACAGAAUUUGCCUCAAUGGCAUCAUUAUCUGUCCAACAACUUCAGAACAUGAUAACUAACACCAUUAGAGUGCAGUAUGGUGGACCCUCAUAGAGUACGCUUAUGUACUCUUAACCUUACAUUAAGAGGAUUGAUAACCUACGUAUGUUUGUGGGUUAUCAACCUCCAAAAUUUCAAUCAUUUGAUGGGAAGGGAAAUUCAAAACAACAUGUUACCCAUUUCGUUGAAACUUGUAACAAUGCAGGUACAGAUGGUGACUUAUUAGUUAAACAAUUCAUUCGUUCUCUCUAAGGGAACGCUUUCGAUUGGUACAUAGACCUUGCACCUAAGUGUAUCAAUAGUUGAGACCAAAUGGAACAUGAAUUCCUCAACCAUUUUUAUAGCACCCGAUGAACUAUAAGUAUGAUGGAACUUACUAACACUAAGCAAUGGAAAGAUGAGCCAGUUAUAGACUAUAUCAACCGUUGGUGUUCCUUAAACCUUGAUUGCAAAGAUAGAUUAUCUGAGGUAUUAGCCAUGGAGAUGUGCAUACAAGGAAUGCAUUGGGGUCUCCUAUACAUCUUCCAAGGGAUACGACCCUGUACCUUUAAAGAAUUAGCUACUCGAGCACAUGAUAUGGACACUACAAGAAAAAAGGUCUUCAUUGACAAUUUUUCAUCAUCAAGAUAAGGUAUAUCUGUUAAGGUGGAUCAGAAUUCACAAAUGUUAUCUAUGCCAGUGUCAAGAAAUGAUAAAAGCUACCUUAACAUAUGCAUGAAAUAAGGUAGGCCGUAUUUCUAUCAAUGUAGGAAUCUUAUUAAUAUGACAUAUGUUAAUGUUUCUUACACGUCAGUCAAGGUUAGGUUAAACAUAUGUGAAGGUUGACUCAUUGUUUUGUCAAGAUUAUAUUCAAUAUAUGUUAAGCUUAAGUAUGAUAUAUGUCAAUGUUGUUGUAUAUGAUUUUAAAUUUAAUUUACACAUAUGUCAAGGAUUUUUUUUUUUUUUUUUGAAAGUUGAAAUUUUAAUAUGUUAAGGUUCCUUUAUUCUUAUGUCAAGGACUGCAAUGUCUUUUAUGUCAAGAUUUCUUUAUUCAUAUAAAGGAAAUUGGUUUAUUUCAUAUCAAGGUUGCAUAUGGAACAUGUCAACAACCUAACCUGUUGCCCAAAUGAUCUACAUAAAAAUUGAACCUGUUGUGUAUAUAUAUAUAUGGAUAAACUACAUGAAUGUAUAAAAUAUUUUUUUUUUUAAAUAUGAACAUGUAGGCAAAUAUAUUGACAAAAAAAAAAUUAAUAUCCUUGCAUAAUCUUGUAUUAUCAUCACAUACAUCCAAAAAAAGGCAAAUAUGUACCCAAAAAUCCAAUAGUUAUACAUGAUAAAUAUAAUGUAUGCAUGAUCUUGUGCCUUCAAAAGUGCUGUAAUUGCUACAAAUGCCACCUAACCUUCUGCAAGUAGGAAAAAAACAUCAGUAUAUGUUUAUAUUUGAAAGAUUAAUAAAAUGAUAUAAAUAUGUAUCCAAAUGUAUUCCCAAACAACCUAACAACUAUAUAUAAUCUUGUUAUCUUGUCAAAUAUAUAUGAAAAAAGGAUAGAUAUUUACCCAAAAAUAACCAAAUAUCAAGUAGCUGUACAUGAUAACAAAAAUUUAUGCGUGAUCUUCUCCUCUAAAAACUGCAGCUACUGCAAAUGUCACCUAACCACAAACAAGAAAGAAAAAAGUAACAUUAUUUUAUGUUUGUGUUUGAAAGUUCAUUAAAAAUAUAUAAAUAUGUAUCCUAAAUAUAUCGAAAUGUAUUCACAAACAACCUAACAAGUAUACAUGAUCUUAUACUAUUAUCAUAUAUAUAUAUAUAUAUAUAUAUAUAUAUAUAUAUAUAUAUAUUUACUAAAAAAGAACCAAAAAUUAAAUAAUUAUGCAUGAUAACAAGAACUUAUACAUGAUCAUGUAUUCUAAAAAUUGCAAGUGCUACAAAUGUCACCCAACCUCUUGCAAGUAAAAAAAAAAAAAAAAACAACAUUACUUUAUGUUUAUGUUUCAAAUUUUUUUUAAAAAGAUAUAAGCUUGUACCCAAAUAUAUUCAAAUGUAUUCACAAACAACCAAGCAACUAUACAUGAUCUUGUACUCUUAUCAAAUAUAUAUAUAUAUAUACAAAAUGAUGGAUAUUUACCAAAAAAUCUAAUAGCUAUACAUGAUGACAAAAACUUAUGCAUGAUCUUGUACUCUAAAAAUUGUAAAUGUUGCAAAUAUCACCCAACCUCUUGCAAAUAAGAAAAAAACAACAUUAGUUUAUGUUAUGUUUAAAAGUACUAAUUAAAAAGAUAUAAACAUAUACCAAAAUACAUUUAAAAAAAAAACUAGCAAUGAACUUUUAGGGAAAAAAUAUAGAUAAGAUAUGUACCUAAAAAUAUCCAAUAAAAGAAAAAACUAAUUGCAACUUUACAUACAUGAUAGCAAGAACCUAUGCUGAUGUUGUAUUCUCAAAAUUCCAACUACUACAAAUGUUAUUCAACCUCUUGCAAGUAGAUAAAAAAACUACAUUACUUUAAGUCUAUAUUUAAAAUUUUACUAAAAUGAUAUUAACAUGUACACAAAUUUAUGCAAAAAGAAUCCAACAAACAUACAUAAUAAAAAAAAACAUUAAUUGGUACUUCAUCAAAUGUAUCUUUUAAAAGAUAUAGGUAUGUACCCAAAAGUAUCCAAAACUUCAGCAUCUUUGCAUGACAAUAAGAUCUUACGUAUGAUCUUGAAAUCUCAAAAUUGCAACAACUGUAAAUGUCACCCUAUACCUUGCAAAGAGAAAAGAUGCAACAUUAAUUAAAAUUUAUGUUUGACAUUUUAUUAAAAAAAUUAUAAAAUUCACAUACCCACUAUACUUGGUCUAAGAUAAGAGUGCUAAAAAAUGAGACCCAUUCAGAUCUCACUUCAUCUAACUCAGCUCGUGAAUAGGUUUUUUCCCCUUCAAACUAAAAUAUAUGAGAAAAGAAAAUAUGUUAACAUGAAACAUUAAAUAUAUGUAUAAGUUCUCAUGUACUUAUGAAAAUACAUAGGUAAAUAAACCUGAGAUGUUAGGAGACUUCUAUUUGCAAUUAUGUCUCGCAUGUAUCACAUGACAAAAUAUCUGCACAUGACACCAUCCAACUAUUUGGGCCCCUAUGAGCAAAAUUAUAUCAACAAAAUUUCACGAUCAAGUAUGACAUCAUAUAAAUUUGGUCAAUUUUUGCAUCAUUCACAUUUAAAAUUAAAAAAAUAAAACAAUGAAUGACAUAAGUAAAAUUUGCACCUAAAUUAAGUAAAUACAUGUCUAGCAUAAUACCCUAAGCUCCCAUUUUUACAACAUAGAGGGUUAAAUUGGGUAAAAUAUAAGAAUGUCAAAUAACAUGUAUAUGUGAAAUAUGGACAAAAAAAAAGGAAUAGAUAAAGGUAAUGAUUAAUUAUAUUUAUUAAGAAUAAUGAUUAACUUUAAAAAAAGAGAAUAGUUAACUUUUGUCUGUGUGAAAAUAUCCCUUAGAAAAGAUCAUGACUUUUAAGAUUUCAUUAAGGUAAAUCAAUCAAGCUUCAAGAACAAUUAUCAAUAAUAUAUUUGGAAAUAUGUAGUAUUAGCAUCCUUUUACAUCUCAUAGAUUGACAUUAUAGAAGAGAAAUGCAAUUAGUAAUUAUAAGGAAUACAUGUUUUACAUAUGAACAAUUUGAUUGAAGAUGGAUAAAAGAGUAAAGAGUUUAGAUUAAAGAGAGAAAGAGAGAGAGAGAGAGAGAGGUUGUGCCUUACAAGAAAUGUCUAAACUAAAUAUAGGAUGUAUAUAAGACAUACUAAGGCCAAAAGAAAGAUAUAAAGAACAACUCACCUAAGUAACAUGAUCAAAGCUAUCUAAAUGAAUCCUCAUUGCUUCCUACAUAACACAUACAUCUAAAUUGUUGUAAAGGAUUGUCAAUACUAUGGGUUUGUUCUUUUUUAGUACUACUUCAUUACUAGUGGAAUAAUGGAAAAAAUGAAUACAUUUUAUUCAUACCAAUUUAGAUUAUAUUAUCAUAAGGUGGUGAAACAAACAUAUAUGGUAUCCUUCUCAAUUCAACUUAGGAAUAGGAAAUAAUAACAAAAACAAUUAGAAGCUAAGAAAAUUCAUAUGUAUAGGUAUAUAUUCAUGUGAGAGGAAGCCAUAUAGAAUCUUUACAUUUCAAAAAUCAAGUAAACUUUAAUUCAAGAAAGCAACUUAAAUGUAGGUAAGUCUUCAAAAAUUUUAGAAGAAGAAAAAAAUGUAACCUCAAUAACUAUCCACUUGAGCUCUUUUUUAAAUCCUUUCUUCUUUUGGGAUACAAAAAUUCGAAACCACCAACAAAAAAUAAGAUUACAUUAGUGUUUAUUUUGAGACAUGAAAACUAAAAUUAUGGUAGACUUACAUGUUCACAAUAUCUUUUAUAUCUUGGUAUGGCUAUUGUAAUAGCGAGUCUAAAUAGUAGAUUGUUUGUAAUUUGAAGUCAAUUACAGCCAAAACCCAAUGAAACCUACAAUAUAUUAACAUAUAAUUUAGUUAAACAACAUUUAUAAGGCUAAGAAAUUAAAAAAAAAUUAUAAUUAACAACUUACCUUGGGUUAUACGGAUGAAAAAUCAAAUAUGCCAAUUUGGAGUCAAUUAGGCGAUCAGCAAUGAUCCUUGCUCUUUUUUCAAUUUGUGGGGCUAUUGUUCCAGCCUUGGACACCAAUCCUGGAUGAACAAAUAUAAUUUUCUCAUGUAGUGUAUCAUCCAGAUGUUCAUGCAGCCACCUAAUGAAAUAUCACCCAGUUUAGAAUUACUUAAAAAAGAAGAAGAAAAAAACGGUUUCUACUUAUUUAUAUCAUGAAUGUAACAUAAAGAUUUACAACAAAAUCUCACCAAAUAUAGAAACAUAUACAAUUCAUAUUCAACUCUUUUGCAGAAAUUACAUCCUUCAUUUCAGUUGUCAAGAGGAAGGUUUGAAAUUUCAUCCCAAAAACAUUGAUUGGAAAGUCAACUUUGGGUGCCGGUUGACCUUCCAACAUUGCUGAAACUGUUUUAGAAAACAAUUGUAUAUCUCUUGGAUUCUCAUAUUUGAUUUUCUUUGGGGAUGCUUGUAUCUUCUUCAUUUUAUUCUUCCUCUUGCCAAAAUCCUAAACACAUAAAUAGAUGCAUGACAUUAAAAUGAAAAAUAAAUAAACCAAGAGUGUAGGAAAAUAUAACUCAACUUUGAAAGUUUGGGUAUAAUGUUAUUCACCUCAUCAUUUUCAUCAUUUAUCACAAAUGCAACAGGCCACAAAACCUCAUAUCCAACACUCUCCCUUAUUGUACUAAUGUUUUCAAAAAGUGGGAAUGGAAGAAGUGCAUUAGGUUGAAGAGGGUAAAGGAUGACCACUAAUAUAUCAGUUCCAUCAAUGGAAAUCUUUGAAUCUCGCAAAUAAGUUCCAUAUGCAACAAUGUUCUCUUCAGUUUCAAGAGCUAAUUUUCAUUUAUAAACCUAUAAAAACAUAUUUUCUAAUCCUUAGUCUUUCAUUAUAGUUAUUUUAUAUAUUGUUUUUAUAAAUUUAACUUAGGAAAAGCCAUAUAUACCUGAGUUAGUAGAGAAGCUUUUCAAGUCCCUUCUGCUGAUAGGUUUUCCACAUGAGCACUAUAAUGAGUCUCCCCUCGUAUUUCUUCAUGUUCCAACAAUUGUUUCCUUAUGUUUGUGCUGCUCACUUCAGAGUGGGGGUGUGAGAGGUUCUUUUUUUUUUUUUUCAACUCUCAAAGAAAUGAUCUCCUCUUCCAAGCUCUUUACUUUCUCCCUUAACAUCCUUUGACAUUCCUCUUCUUCAAGAGUUUUUGUGGGUUUUGGUGUGUUGAAGAAUUUUUUGGGCUUUUUUUUCCCACAUUUUCCUCUAACCCGUCCAGGAUGCUCGGAUGUACCCAAUGCUAAAGUGAGGAUAUCCUUUUGGCCAACACAUGUGAUCUUCCCUUCCUCAACAGCCUUUGCCAACUCAUCCUCCAAAAAAAUAUAAAAUGCUUCAAGAGUCAUAUUAAAUAUAAAAAAAACAAAUGAAAUUGACUAAAACUAAGUAUAGGUUUGACAACUUACAAUCUUUUCUGCUACAGGCCUCGUAACAUCAUCAUAUUCACCUUUUUUCAAUCUUGCUAGCUUCCACAAGACCCAUCUAUCAAUAGGUUUCCUUGAACCUGUCUUUUGCAUCUAUCAAAAAACAAAAAAGUGAAGUAAUUAAACUUUACAAAAUUAAAUGUCCAACAAAAUAAAAUACACUAAUUCAACUUACCAAUUCUUCUUGAAGUCCUGCAUAUCCUUUCCUACUCACUAUAUGAAUAUAAACGUAUUUUGCCCUCCUUUCUUUUCCUUUUUUUGAUUUAACUUGAAACUCUGUUGACAACCUAUUAGCCACUAACUUUCUCCAGUCUUCAAUUGGAAUGUAAUUAUAUUCAAUUGGUGGCUGCAAAAGGUACUCGGGCUUAUCCUUAUAAGGCAGGAUAUACUCGUUCGUCAAUGUGUGCCUGAAUGACCUAAAGCUAGUCCCAAUUGAUGAUAUGACGUUGCAUUUGCUAUUCUCAUCAACCAAGAAUGCACCCUAAAAUAUAAGAUCUUGAUUAUUUAAUAAGCAUGUAAGGUCUACACAAAAUAUAGGAAAUUAAUUUCAGUACAUUACUAUAUACCUUAUCAGAAGAUCUUGAUUAUUUAAUAAUCAUGUAAGGUCUACACAAAAUAUAGGAAAAUAAUUUCAAUUAAUUACUAUAUACCUUAACGCAAUCCCAUAAUUUCUCCUUCAAUUCCACAGGCACUACUCUCCAAUCAGUAUGAUAUACUGGCACCAUGGUUCGUGCUAGCACCCCCAAGUAUGAUACAAGCUGUACAUAUCCCUCACCCACUUCCUCACCAUCAUCAUUAUAUUGAAUGUCAAUUUUCACUCAUUCACUUCUCUUUUUAGCAAUUUUAGGUUUUACAGUUGGGCCUCUAAACCUUUUUGGUGAAGUAAUCUUUUGUUUUCCUUCCUUUCCAUCCAUCUACAUGACAAUCAAAAGAAUAUGAUCAAUCUCAUAAUACAUACAUACAUAUAUAUAUAUAUAUAUCUUACAUUCAAAAGUAAAGCAUGGUAUUUUAAUAGUUACCUGCUCUUUAUCUAUUCUUGGUUGAGACAUCUGUAAAGAUGUUGCACUUUUCGCCCAAGUUCCCAAAUAAUUAAGAAUUAUGCACUAAUAAACAACACUUGAAAAUGUAUCUCAACUAAAUCUAAAGAAAUUAGUUACAAAAUGAUUUCAUAAGUAGGAAUAAAUCAUUGUUGUACAAACUUUGCAAUACAUGAAAAUUAAUCUUAAAUCUCAAUAUAUAUAAAUAUGAUACUAACUGCAUUUAUUUAGAAUAGCUUAGCAAGUAUAUAAUAGUAAAAAUAUAUUUGAGAAGAAUAAAAUAAAAACAUAACAUUGUUGAGCAUCACAUUGUAUAUUAACAAUAACUCAAAAAUCACAUAAUACACUUAGUAGUCACAAAGCAUAACCCCAAAAAACAAACAAAAAAACAUGAAGCUUAAUGUUCAAUCCAAAUCCCCUCACAAUUAGUACGCAUACAAAUUUCAUCAUAAUCUUCAACUUCAUCAAAAGACUUAAUAUUAGGCAUCCCAUUCACAAAUGGGUGAUGCUCCAUAUCAUUAUCGGUUAUGUUGCCAUCACCUUCUAUGUCAAACAACUCCAUUUUUGGCCUUGAUAAUACAAUAGACCAUCUUGGAUCAACUUGAUCUUCUACAUAAAAUACUUGUUGGGCUUGCGUUGCCAAAAUGAAAGGAUUUGAUUUAUGUCCUAUCUUGCUCAAAUCAAUAAUGUAAAACCAAGCUCAUCAACUUUGACACCAUUCUUACUAUCAACUUAAUCACACUUAAAAACACAAAUAUUAAACAUGUUAUAAUCAAGGUCCCAUAUCUCUCUAACAUUCCCAUAAAAACACAUGUCACCAAGCACAAGAUUCUUAUCUUUGGAACUUGCAAUUUGCAUGGUCAAUGCCACAAUACUGACACCACUAUUUUGGUUGACUCGUGCCUCAUCAUGCUCCUUGAUAUGGUAACGACAACCAUUAAUGAUAUAUCCGGGGUAAGCAAGAACUUGUUGUCUUAGUCCUUGCGCAAGCCACUUAAGUUCCUUUUCAAUAAGUUCUUUCUUACUUAUGUCAUCUGAAACCUAUAAGGUUCAUUAAUGAUAUGUAAGUUAAUUUAAUUUAAAAUUUUGAAAGCAUUAAAUUUUAAGGGAGCAUGAAUAUUGAGUUUCAUACCUUUUUUCUAAGCCAAGAACUAAAUGUGUGCACAUGUUCAUCCUCUAGCCACUUCACUCUCUUUGAUUGAUGAGGAUAUUUUGUCUUCAAAUAUUUCAUAUGUUCACUAUCAAGGAAAAAUAAGCAUGUCAUGGUUUGUAUAAACAUUACCUACAGUUUCAAACUCAUAUAUUCACAUAUAUGACACUUACUCAAUAAAAGGUUGUACAAUGGUUGUAUUUUGUAGAACAUAAUGAUGUGCUUGCUCCACCAAUUUAUAAUCAUGAAUAGUUAUUGCACGACCACCAAGUAAUGGUUUCCCAUAUUUCCAUUCAUCUUUCAUACUAGAAGGAAUCCCAAUUGCAUCCAUGCCCGAUAAAUACUCUAUACAAAACUUUAAGGCUUCCUCAGCGAUAUAGCACUCAGCAAUGCACCCUUCUGGAUGAUUAUGAUUUCGAACAUAACCCUUGAGGACUUUCAAGUACCUUUCAAAUGGGUACAUCCAUCUCAUAUACACUGGUCCACAUAAUCUAACCUCUUUUACCAAUUGCACUGUUAAAUGAAGCAUGAUGUCAAAGAUGGAAGGUGGAAAAUACUUCUCUAGCAAGCACAAAGUCACCACUAUGUCUUGUUGUAGAUCAUUCAAUCUUGACACGUCCACCACCUUUGCACAAAGUGCAUUAAAGAAAAAACACAAUCUUGUAAUGGCAUAUCUGACAUGCUUAGGCAACACAGAUCUUAUUGCUAUUGGUAGUAGUUGUUGCAUAAAUGCAUGAUAAUCAUGGGACUUAAGACCAUUAAGCUUUAGCUCUUCCAUGGACACAAGGUUUCUAAAGUUUGAACAAUGACCUUCAAGAACCUUCAAAUCAGCUAAAGUCUGCAAUACUAUUUUUUUCUCCUUUCUACUUAGAGUAUAGCAUGCAGGGGGAAGAUAAGUUCGCUUCAACCCAAACGUUGGUGCUAAGCCAGGCUUAAGCCCAUUUCGAGAAGAUCAAGUCAAGACUUUACUCCAUCCUUUGUUUUACCUGGAAUGUUAAGCACAGUUCCGAUGAUGCUCUCACAAACAUUCUUCUCUAUAUGCAUGACAUCCAAGUUGUGUUGGAUAUAAAAAUAUUUCCAGUAUUCAAGUUCAAAAAAUAUAGACUUCUUUUUCCAGCAACUUGUAGGAUUAGCAAAGGAUUCACAUUGUUUAACCUUCUUUUUCUUUCCCCAUGAGUUAUGAAUCNNNNNNNNNNNNNNNNNNNNNNNNNNNNNNNNNNNNNNNNNNNNNNNNNNNNNNNNNNNNNNNNNNNNNNNNNNNNNNNNNNNNNNNNNNNNNNNNNNNNNNNNNNNNNNNNNNNNNNNNNNNNNNNNNNNNNNNNNNNNNNNNNNNNNNNNNNNNNNNNNNNNNNNNNNNNNNNNNNNNNNNNNNNNNNNNNNNNNNNNNNNNNNNNNNNNNNNNNNNNNNNNNNNNNNNNNNNNNNNNNNNNNNNNNNNNNNNNNNNNNNNNNNNNNNNNNNNNNNNNNNNNNNNNNNNNNNNNNNNNNNNNNNNNNNNNNNNNNNNNNNNNNNNNNNNNNNNNNNNNNNNNNNNNNNNNNNNNNNNNNNNNNNNNNNNNNNNNNNNNNNNNNNNNNNNNNNNNNNNNNNNNNNNNNNNNNNNNNNNNNNNNNNNNNNNNNNNNNNNNNNNNNNNNNNNNNNNNNNNNNNNNNNNNNNNNNNNNNNNNNNNNNNNNNNNNNNNNNNNNNNNNNNNNNNNNNNNNNNNNNNNNNNNNNNNNNNNNNNNNNNNNNNNNNNNNNNNNNNNNNNNNNNNNNNNNNNNNNNNNNNNNNNNNNNNNNNNNNNNNNNNNNNNNNNNNNNNNNNNNNNNNNNNNNNNNNNNNNNNNNNNNNNNNNNNNNNNNNNNNNNNNNNNNNNNNNNNNNNNNNNNNNNNNNNNNNNNNNNNNNNNNNNNNNNNNNNNNNNNNNNNNNNNNNNNNNNNNNNNNNNNNNNNNNNNNNNNNNNNNNNNNNNNNNNNNNNNNNNNNNNNNNNNNNNNNNNNNNNNNNNNNNNNNNNNNNNNNNNNNNNNNNNNNNNNNNNNNNNNNNNNNNNNNNNNNNNNNNNNNNNNNNNNNNNNNNNNNNNNNNNNNNNNNNNNNNNNNNNNNNNNNNNNNNNNNNNNNNNNNNNNNNNNNNNNNNNNNNNNNNNNNNNNNNNNNNNNNNNNNNNNNNNNNNNNNNNNNNNNNNNNNNNNNNNNNNNNNNNNNNNNNNNNNNNNNNNNNNNNNNNNNNNNNNNNNNNNNNNNNNNNNNNNNNNNNNNNNNNNNNNNNNNNNNNNNUCCAUUAUUUGGAAUCAUGAAGUUUAUUCAUGCUUAAUUAAUUAGGGCUUUGGUGGGGGCCCGACAUUCAUGAUACCUUCUUCAAUAUUGUUUGCUUGAUAUGUUGAUUUUUGAUUCUUCUUGAUGAUAUACAUGAAUUUGUUUCGUAUUUAUUAUUGAGAUGCUUUUGAUUCCCAUAGAGGAGUACUAGCUUGCUAUCCAGGUACGCUCUCUUCUCAUCUAUUUUUUUAGAACUCUAUGGGCUUGUAUGUCAUUGAUGACUAUAUCCAUAUUUGACGUGAUUCUUGGAUAUCUUGAUAUAUGCCUGACUUGCUUGAAUAAAACAAAUGUUAUGUGCUACAAUUCUACACUAACUUUUAUGUUUUAUGAUAGCACUUGAAGAGCGGUUCAGGUACGCGCCCUAACUCACCUUUAUUGCAAUUUGAUUGUGUUUGGCAUGCCACUCUUUAAAAUCACCCAGCCUAUUUAGGUAUCUAUGAUUGACUGAUUAAUUGCCACACUUCCCUUAACUUUGUCAGUAGAGACCUCUUUAGGGCUUAGAGGGGUGCUACCUCCUAGAGGUACCUUCCCAAUAAGUAACCUGAUCCCCGGACCAAGACUCGGGUUUUUCAAAGACACGCUUUUCCAAAAAUUGUGGAGUCAUUUUUUUAGGGUUUCAUUUCUUGUUUUAUUUUCCCUUCAAAAAUAAAAGUAAAAUAAGUGGCGACUCCAACUUUUCCAAAAAUCAAUUUUUCACAAAUAAAAAGCGAGUCUCGCCGAUCGAGUGGAGACGCACGUGAAAAAUGCGGGUCCACAAAUUGGCGACUCCACUGGGGACUUUGAGGAUCAAGCUUGAACACUAGUUAAGGAAAAUAUGGCGUUUAAUUGGUCGAUUAGUGGGUACCUCUUUUUUUUAGGCAAGGUGAUUCGAUUUGCUUGCUUGUUUGGUUUGCUAUCUUAACAUGUUUGAUUCCCUUGGAUGAUCACUUGAUUGUUUUGCUCACUUUAGCAUGAUUCACUAUCACAUAUGUUAGAUAGGACUUUUUUUGUUUGAUAUUUAUUUGCUUCGCAUGACUGUUUGAAUGAUCACUUGAUUGUUUUGCUCACUUUAGCAUGAUUCACUCUCACAUAUGCUAGAUAGGACUUUGAUUGUUUGAUAUUUAUCUGCUUCACAUGACUGCUUGUUGCAUGACAACCCUUUCUCUUGCAUGUUCGUAUGAUUGCUUGUCUUCAUUCACUAUCUCACUUUAGAUCUUAGGUUUUUCGGAUGCACCCACAUCCUUCAUUGUGCACUUUAGAUUAUCCCUGAGUGUUGAGAGAUGGGAGAGCCUUCACCAUAAAGAAACCCCCUGGGAACGCGAGGAAGUGCAUGUGUGGAGGUGAUGACCACCUUGCAUGGAAGCACCCCGUCUCCUUGGAGGCGUGCAGAGGGUUGCGUACCGCCGGAGGGUACGAUCGCUUCUGCUAGGAAUCCUUUGACCCACCCAUUUUAUCUUAUAGAGCCGCCUUAACCUUGUAGGUUAGCCUAGACCCAAUUAAGAUUUCAUUCCUACACGUGGGUGCAUCUGUGGACUUUCAAAGCUGCCUUGGUCACAAUUGGGUUCAGUUAUCCUCUUCAUGGUCUCCUUUUGGUGUGCUCAGAGAUUGGUACAUGUUUGAGUCUCAAUUGGGCCACCUUUCUGCAUUGUGAUUAGUGUGUUUCCACCUCUUCUGAGCUUCCUUCAUGUCAUUUCUCUUUCCGCGUCUUUGUACCUUAUAGGAAUGUUACUCGCUUCAGUUUGGAUUCGACUUUUUAUAUUAGAGUUGGAGAUAGAUUGGUCAAGGUUUCAAAGCAGUCAGGUAUGGAUCCUCAGCAUGAUGCAGUUGAUCGACCUACAGUCACCAUGACUCUAUUCAGGAUGCAUUAGCAGGUUUGAGCCAGAUGAUUGAUGGACAGUGAGAUAGAUGGCAUCCAGUUCAAGAUGAGAUGCCGUAUGAUUCAUUACCACCCACCCCCACCACCCAGUUAACCAGUGACAUUGUUGAGGGUGACUUCGUACAUAUGAUGAGUUUAGUGGAUUAUGAGUCAAAGUUUAUCAGAUGAGAGUUCUUAUAGAGGACGUUAGUUUUUCUCAGAUGGGAGAUUUGAUUAACAUGGUUUUCUUCAUGAUGAACCUGAGAUAGACGUAUUGGAUGAUAGUUGGAUGCUUGGCAUAGAUUAGCCCGAGAUAGUUCACUCUCUUGAUAUGCUUGAGAUCUUCAUUGUUGAGAGUUCAUAAGAGAUUCGGUUUAUUUAUGUUGGGGCAUCCCGCUUAUGUUGAUGAUAUGUUUGAGGACGAUAUUAGCCCGGUUAUGGUCAUGGAGAUUCAUCUAUUCCAGGAGACCCUAUGGACUUACUUGGAGUACACCACUUUUCAUUAGAGAGUUGACCCUAGAGAGGAAAUAUGAUUGACAUAUCUGGAUAGAGAUCAGUUCUCAAACCCCACCAAUGUGGAUUAGUUGAAGAAGUAUUACAUUUGAGAUCAUGGUCGCAGGAUGGGUGGCCAUCAUUUCGGUUAGCCUUACACCUUAUCAUCUUUAUUGAUAUAAUAAACCAUUGCUAGCCCAUUGAGCCUCACGUGGUAUGUUAUAGCCUUAUUUCUUUCUUAUAGCCUUGAUUACCAUUUCUACACCCGGGUUGGGACCCUUUGGUGUAUAUGCAUGCUUUGCUAUGAAAGUCUCAUGAGCUUUAGACUUAUAGGCCUAUCUUCUCAUUCUUGUCAUCAUCUCCUUAUCACCCCGUUUGUUCUAUUUUGCCAUCAUCACAUUUCCAUUCUCUUUCUUGAUUUUAUCAUUAUUUGCUUCAUUUUAUCUCUUUUCUUCCUUGGGCUGAUGAUUCUUCACAUUUUAGUGCAAAGAGGACAGUCAUAUCACUCUAUUCAUCCCAUCAUCUGACAUUGAUUCGGAGACUUCAGUUUGAGAGGUUGUCUCAUGGGUAGGGUUUCAUGUAUUCAUCAGUGAUUUGAGAGAGUUUAUUCAUUUCUUGUAUCUUUCCCAUUGGAGUUUGACUUAUUGAUGAUCAGAGCAUGCGCUAAAAAAAAAAAAAAACAAAAAAAAACAAAAACAAAAGAAAAAAGAAAGAAAGAAAAAGCGCAAUGAUAUGUUUGUGUGUGGAAUCUUGCUCCAUUGGGCACUUAUGUCACCUUUUGAGGUCUAUUUAUUGGGUAUAUUUGUCAUUGUGGGUUCUUGUGAGAUUUUUAUAUGGGUUUUCACUCCUUGAGCCAUUCUUGUUAUGCAUUUGGAGUGUUGGGGGUUCAUGUGAGAGUUCUAUGGUAUCCUAUGCUUCUUGGUCAUGGUUGAUAUGUAUUAGAUAUGAGAGAUGAGUGACCUUUUACUAGGGUCUCCAAAUCAUUGUCUUAUCCACCAUUCCAUCAUUGGUGAUAUGACUUUUCUUUAUUGUACUAAUAUGAGUUGAUCAUCAUUCAUUCCACUUGCUUAUUGCCUUACUUUGUAUCUCCUCACCCAUUUCCAGAUCUUCGUUCCACUUUUUAUCCAUUUCCUACAUAUUGAUACACAUUUUUGUUUUGAUACCUUCUUCACAUCAUUCACAUGUUUCAUUGAUGGUUUGACUACUCAUCUUUCUCUCAUUUCGCCAUCGACAUUUCCUUUGGUUACCUUUAGGUCCAUGGCUCAUGAGAUUUUUCUAUGCAUUACAUCUUAUACACGAGGGUAUGGGUUUGAUCAUUGGGUAUUUGAGCCUAGUUUCCCUUCAUUUCUUUCACCCUAUCACCCUGGCCUACGUUACGUCCCGUGUCUUAAGACCACCCUGAGACCAUGAGAUCAGAUGUUAUCUUUGACAGCCUCUACUUAGGUUGGUGUUUGGGAUUUGGUUGAUAUAUAGAUGUUGUCAUGUUUCUUCUUAUGGGAGAUGCUUCUUUGAUGCUGGGAGGUGAUUUGGUGAUGGAUGUGGAUGAUUGCUUCAUUUUAUGGAUGAUAUUUGAUGCUAUCCAGAUUUUUAUUCUACUGUGCAUCAAUUAUCUUACUGGGGCAUAUUCCCCUUUCAUCUAGUUGAGAUGAGUCCCUAGUAGAGCACUUUCUUUGAGCUUGGACAUUUUCAUUGAUCCGAGAUUCCUAGUGGAGUAUGUUGAGAUGAUAUCAGUUCCAGUGGAGCAUUAUUGAGCUCAUUGACAGUUUUCAGGAUUCUAGGUUCCAUCUGCGGAGUAUUUUUGAGAUAGACUAGUGGAUCAUUUUUUAGUUGGAGGCAGUUUUCAGUGCAGUGUAUAGAUCUUGUACACUGGGGUAUAUUUCCCCAUUUUGAGGUUACCAGAUUCCUAUCAGAUUCAGUCAGGGAUUCAUCAGAGACAUGUUUCUGAUUUUGAGAUUACCACAUCCCUCAUUAUCUUGGCUAUUCAUUUGAGAUUAGAUUUAGAGUGUCCCCCUUAAGGCAUUGGUCGAUACUUCACUCUGACUUCUUAGCAGAUUAUUGUUGAGUUGAGGAUAGUUGAUUGAUGAUGUUGGAUUCAUCCUUUGGUUGUGCAUCAUAUAUUCACACUGGGGCAUAUUCCCCCUCCUCCGAGAUUCUUAUCUGUUAUUGUAUACGGUACGAGGAUGGAUGAUCAUUGUUAGUUUGUUUGCCUCACAACUUCGACAUUCGAUAUCCAUACUGGGGCAUAUUCCCCUCUCCAUUACGAGAUUUAUUUGGGCAGUGAUAUGAGGAUGGAUGAUUGGUGUCGUUUGUUUAGCUUAUAACUUUGACAUCAUGUCUCAUACUGGGGCAUAUUUCCCCCAUUUUCUUUGAGUAUCCUUGAGAUUGAGACAGUGGCCAGUUUGGUUUUAGAUUGAGUACUAGCCCAGAGCUUCCGACGAUCGACUGUAUCAGGGCCUCCCUACAUGGAUUUGUUGAGAUAGAGACGGAUCGCAUCAGGUUUCACCCGAGGAGUGUGGGUGGAUCCUUUAGCCAGAUGUUCAUGAGACAGAUUUGUUUUCGUCAUUGUUACCUUGCAGAUUGGAUUAUCCAGAUGAGCAGCAUUUUACGCACUUUGAGGUUUACUUUUAGAUGAGCCAUGAUAUACAUUCUUUGAGAUUUACCUUUUGAGAUUCAUCGACAGAGCAGCUUUUCAGACAUAGAGGGUUCCUUCAGUUUAGACUUUUCAGAGGUUUGUCACGAUGCAUCAGUUUCUGACCUAUUGAUUUCAGCGGAUGAUUGAUUUACUGGUUGUUUCGACAGUGCGAGCACCCUGGAUACUGGGGCAUAUUUUCCUUCUUGGUUUCAGUAGUCCGACCCUUGACAUUUUGAGUAUGUGGCUUUGAGCCAAUUUAUUUCAUGUCCACUUCCGAGUUGGUCUUCUCUAUUAUUCCCUUCUAGGCCCUGAGCCUCAUAGCUUUGAGUUAUUCAUUCCUUUUAGACCCCGAGUCUUAUAGCCUUGAGCAUCCUUUUUCCCUUAGGCCCUGAGCCCGCUAGCCCUGAGCUAUCCUUUUUUUAGGCCCUGAGCCUCGUAGCCAUGAGUUAUCCAUUCCUUCUAGACCCUGAGUCUCGUAGCCCUGAGCUAUCUUUUUUCCCUUAGGCCCUGAGCCCGCUAGCCCUGAGCUAUCAUUUCCUAUAGACCCAGAGUCUUUCCAGCUCUUAGCUGAGCUUUCAUCACUUGGUCGCCCAUGAGCGGUUUGACCUGGAGUUUGCGUAUCGCAUUCUCCUUUUAGCCGAUCAGUCAUAGAGCCCGGAGCUCAUAGCCCUGAGCUAUUCGUCGACCCAGAGUCAUUUUUCAUCUUGACCCAGAGUCAUUCAUAGCACCCCAAGCCCUGAGCUCACGACCCGGAGUCAUUUGCAUCAUUCACAUCCCUGAGAUGUUUCGUUUUCAUCAUUCUAGCCACUUGUGAGUGGCCUCGACCCGACACCUUGAGUCGGAAAGUAUCCUGAUCGGCUAUCUAUUUAGAGCCCGGAGCUCUCGACCCAGAGUCAUUUUCCAUUUUGACCCAGAGUCAUUCCUUUCCAUUUAGAGCCCGGAGCUCUCGACCCAGAGUCACUUUCCAUUUCGACCCAGAGUCAUGAUUUCCUAUUUUAGAGCCCGGAGCUCUCGACCCAGAGUCACUUUCCAUUUCGACCCAGAGACAUUCUUUCCUAUUUUAGAGCCCGGAGCUCUCGACCCAGAGCCACUUUUCAUUUCGACCCAGAGUCAUUAUUUCCUAUUUUAGAGCCCGGAGCUCUCGACCCAGAGUCACUUUCCAUUUCGACCCAGAGUCAUUCUUUCCUAUUUUAGAGCUUGGAGCUCUCAACCCAGAGUCACUUUCCAUUUCGACCCAGAGACAUUCUUUCCUAUUUUAGAGCCCGGAGCUCUCGACCCAGAGUCACUUUCCAUUUCGACCCAGAGUCAUUCUUUCCUAUUUUAGAGCUUGGAGCUCUCGACCCAGAGUCACUUUCCAUUUCGACCCAGAGUCAUUCUUUCCUAUUUUAGAGCCCGGAGCUCUCGACCUAGAGUCACUUUCCAUUUCGACCCAGAGUCAUUAUUUCCUAUUUUAGAGCCCGGAGCUCUCGACCCAGAGUCACUUUCCAUUUCGACCCAGAGUCAUUCUUUCCUAUUUUAGAGCCCGGAGCUCUCGACCCAGAGUCACUUUCCAUUUUGACCUAGAGUCAUUUUCCAUUUUGACCCAGAGUCAUUCCUUUCUAUUUAGAGCCCAGAGCUCUCGACCCAGAGUCUCUUUCCAUUUCGACCCAGAGUCAUUCUUUCCUAUUUUAGAGCUUGGAGCUCUCGACCCAGAGUCACUUUCCAUUUUGACCCAGAGUCAUUCUUUCCUAUUUUAGAGCUUGGAGCUUUCGACUUAGAGUCACUUUCCAUUUCNNNNNNNNNNNNNNNNNNNNNNNNNNNNNNNNNNNNNNNNNNNNNNNNNNNNNNNNNNNNNNNNNNNNNNNNNNNNNNNNNNNNNNNNNNNNNNNNNNNNCCGGAGCUCUCGACCUAGAGUCACUUUCCAUUUCGACCCAGAGUCAUUAUCUCCUAUUUUAGAGCCCGGAGCUCUCGACCCAGAGUCACUUUCCAUUUCGACCCAGAGUCAUUCUUUCCUAUAUUAGAGCCCGGAGCUCUCGACCCAGAGUCACUUUCCAUUUUGACCAAGAGUCAUUUUCCAUUUUGACCCAGAGUCAUUCCUUUCUAUUUAGAGCCCAGAGCUCUCGACCCAGAGUCUCUUUCCAUUUCGACCCAGAGUCAUUCUUUCCUAUUUUAGAGCUCGGAGCUCUCGACCCAGAGUCACUUUCCAUUUUGACCCAGAGUCAUUCUUUCCUAUUUUAGAGCUUGGAGCUCUCGACCCAGAGUCACUUUCCAUUUCGACCCAGAGUCAUUUUCCAUUUUGACCCAGAGUCAUUCCUUUCUAUUUAGAGCCCGGAGCUCUCGACCCAGAGUCACUUUCCAUUUCGACCCAGAGUCAUUCUUUCCUAUUUUAGAGCCCGGAGCUCUCGACCCAGAGUCACCUUCAUUUAUUUCCUAUUUUAGAGCCCGGAGCUCUUGACCCAGAGUCACUUUCCAUUUCGACCCAGAGUCAUUAUUUCCUAUUUAAGAGCCCGGAGCUCUCGACCCAGAGUCACUUUCCAUUUCGACUCAAAGUCAUUCUUUCCUAUUUUAGAGCCUGGAGCUCUCGACCCAGAGUCAUUUUCCAUUACCGCCCAAAGUCAUUUCCUUUCCAUUUAGAGCCUAGGGCUCUCGACCUAGAGUCGUUUUCCAUCUUGACCCAGAGUCAUUCUUUCCGAUUAGAGCCCUGAGCUCAUGACCCAGAGUCUUUUAUCCUAUUUUAGAUCCAGAGUCAUUCACCUUGUCCAUGAUCCAGAGUCAUUCAUGUCAUUCAUGACUUUGAAUCAUCCUUUUCACCCCUUUCCAUCUUUGUGCUACUCAUCACAUACUGUUCUCUCUUUAUUGUCAUUCCCCCACAUAGAGUUGUCCCAUCCAUGUCAUUGAGACCCCAUCUUUUGAUCUUACCUCUUCAUGCGCUAGGACAAAAUCUCUGGUCUUUCUUUAAUUCUUCAAUAUAGUUCACUUCAUUUCGCUCAUUGCUCGUGCUUCUACUUGCAUUCUCUACACUCGUGAUCUAUACCGAAGAGGGGCAUAUUUGUAGACCCUCAAUUUUGUCCCUUUAGCGCAUGUCUUUAAAUCCACUUCCAGUGCUCCACGGUAGUUCCUUGGUGGCCCAUUACUACUCGUACGACUUACCUUUUUCUGAGUCACCUCGGAGACUUUGGUUGAGGGAUUAUUUGAUCCCUUAUUGUGACCCCUGACAGCCCUAACUUAGACUUAGGCUUUUCUUGUCUUUUUUUAGGAUAGCUUUUAGAUACAUUUAGCCUUUAGGCACCGCUCUAGGCCCACUUAGGCACACUUGGCCCAUUAGGCACUUUUAGACUCACUUUUUGUAUGACUUGCGUGUUUGCAUGGCUCGUAGGGCCCAUUUUUUGUUAAUUUGUUUAUUUUUAUUCUAUUUUAUUUUAUCUUCCUCUUUAUAUUAUUUUCCUUAACUUAUUUAUUUAUUUAUUAUUUUUACAAUUUUCUAAUUUAUUUACUUAUUUAUCUAUCCAUGCAAUUAUUUAACUUCUAAAAUUUCAUAUUUUUGCAAGGAAACUUACCAUUGGAGUUUAAGGAAAGUGGGACUCUCCUUGGAAGGUUUUGAAGGAGAAUUUGAAGUUGGGAAGAUUGCUUUUGAAUUGGAAGAUUUGAAAAAAAGGAUAAGGAGAAAAGAAGAGAGAAAAUAGGGGAUUUGGCCUUUUUUUAGGGAGAUUUAGGUUUUAGGGGAAGGCGUAUAUAUACGCGAGAGAGGAAGGAUUGUCAGAGGCGAGGGGGAGCUUCUUUUGAUUGUGGGAGGAGAUUCUUUGUUUGGUGAGAGAACGCAUUGCAGAGAGGAGAGGGAAAAAGAAGUAUUCUUUGGGGACGCAGGAGAGGAUCAACUGAGGUGAUUCUGAGAAAAGGUGGAGAGGUGCACAAGAGCGGGAAAAAGAGAGAUUGCAGCCGAGUUUCUAGCAGACGGAAAGGGCCACAAUUGGUUCUAUUGAGAUUGGUGGGUUGUUUGUUUAUUUGCUCUGAUUUCUUGUUCAUUUUGAGGCUUUUGUUCUUUUCAAUGUCAUUGAUUUCAUUUGAGAACAAUAUGCAUUUGGGUCUGUUCUUGAAUCUGAUCUGUUUUGAAUCAUUCCCCUAUCCUAAGCCAAUGGAUUGAAACAUGAAACGUGGCUCCCUUUUUAUCGUCUCGUUCUGUUUUUUUUUUCAUUUUUUAUGCUCUGUUUUCGAAUGCCAUUCUCUCUUUCCGACAUUUGCUUGUGAGGAAUCUUCUGAAAACUGCUGGAGCGCGGAAUUCGAAUUUGGAAAGAUGAGAUGGAAAGAAAAUGCAGGGUUUCUGUGCAAGCACAUUCGCUAAAAACAAAGGACGACCCCACACUUGCUGUCUCGGUUCUCACAGCAGGGCCUUUGGCCAAUUCAAUCAAAUGAUAUGUAUAACCCUCCAGUAGAGAUUCUGGAAGUUUGUGAGAAAAUCAUAGGUUAUUGUCUCGGGACCUGCACUGGGAUGAGAUUGUCUUGGCAAACGAAUAUGGGCACGACUGAUUUGAGGGCAACGUAUGGUAGGGAUCAGCAGGAAGAUUUAAUGGGACUGCCGUAGUUGAAAUGGAUGAUUUUGGCUUUGGUGGUGGUCCUUGUUCUAUUGCCGUUACUGCAGUGUUAGAUUUUUUCUGGCAGAAGUGAUUUCUGACUUUAUUACUGAGCAGGUGAAAGAUGCGCAGGUCAUGGAGACAAUUCUGGAAACUACUCCUUUAUAUAUGCUAAGUCUAUUUUUAGUUUUCAAGGUCUGUGCCUUAGCAGGCUGAUGAAUUCCCUUGAAAAGCGUCUCUUGCGUGAUGACGAGGAAGAUGAGGAAAAGUUAGAUGAGAGCCGCUGGUCAUCCAAUCUAGAUGCAUUGUGUAUAAUGAUUGCAGAUCGUGCAUAUAUGGGUGCUUUUCUUAGCCUGUCACUGUACUGAAAAUUCUGGAAUUCUUGUUGUUUAUGCUACAGCUUACAAAUAAAGAUGGAUGAAUUGAAGGAGUAACAUCUAGAAAAGACCUUUAUCCAAUCUCCAAAGGGAACAAACAGCUUGAUGCUUAUGUACAAUUGAUAAUUAAGUAUACAAACCGUAUGGUAUUGUUCUGUUUCUUGCCAUCAUUCUUGAUUAGUUCAAAGAAGAUGAUCGCUCUUAGGUUUGCAAAUUGGACCUAAGGAAGAGGAAUCCCUAAACUCUUCAGAGGAAGAUACAGGAAUUACUAUCUGCACAGAUUUACAGUUAUUAAUUGCUCACAGAUGAAUAAUAUUCUGACCCAGCAAUUCUGAUACUGAAUUAAGUGGUAACCAAAAUUACUGUCUCUGUGUAAAUUUAAUUCCUCUUCUCCAUGAUCAAAGACGAAAUGCUGUGAAUAUGGCAGUUGGUGUUGUCAAGAAUCCAUUGAUGCAUUGCAAGGCUGCACUAGAGGACUUGCUAGUCUCUAAACCAAACCAAGGUCAGUCUUUUGGAUGUACCACAUGGUGGUUUUGACAAACUAUCGACAAGAAACUUAUCUACUUCCUUUGAGUGGCUGCAAACUAGUGAACAGGUUGUUAAUAAAGUACUGGAGCAGUGUGCUGUUAUUAUGUGGAUGCAACAUAUUGCUGGAUCAUCAAAGUUAUAUGGAGUGAGGAUGAAAAGAAAUGGUGCUGAAGCUUCCAGAGCAUUUCAUCAAGACCCAACAGCCAUUUAUGCCACAACCUCGUCUGAGACAGCCAUCUGGGUUUAAUGAUAUUCAGUCGGUAUAGCAGCACAUCAUGUUCAAGCAGCUGCAAGAACUUCAGAGGCAGCAGCAACUUCAGCAGCUGAGUGGUACCAAUCACAACUCUAUAGUGAAGUGAAGGCAUUAGAAGUUGAAAUAGAUGCUGUGGCAUAUACUAUUUAAUAGGUAAGGAAUGCCGAGAGAAAUGAAAAUCAUGUCUCGGAUGGUAAUGAUAACAGAGCACAAGAAGAUGCAGAUAACUUGUUAUUCAGACUUCUCUCAAUAAUUUGACCCUUUAGCAUGCCUUGGCUGCUGAUCGUCUAAGAAGCCUCAAGAAAAACAAAAGCUUAACUUGAAAUAGAGCUUUCAAUGGAGUAGGGAGGAUGCUUUAGUCACAUCGUCUGCACAAUUAAAGAAAGAUCCAAUCCAGUUUUCAUACAAUUCAGAAUCUGAUGCUCACAGGAAUACAUCUUCUUUAUCUUCUACAAAAUUUGGACUCAGCAGCUUUGAUGAAGCCACACUCUCUAUUGAUGAUUCAGUAGACCAGAUUGUUGAGGUCCUCAAUUCUUUUAGGACUUGGUGCAAUGAUAUACAUGGGAGUAUUAGACUCGGUAAAUUUUGCAGCCGAAACCUUCGAAGCCAAAGCCACUAUGUUAGACGAUGCCCAUCCAACCGCUCUAAAGAUUUGGAAGCCUAUUGAAGGAGUUGCUUGAUCAGAAAAGUAUUAUGAAGCAGGCAUUAUAUUUCAGAAUGGAGGGUUUAGGAAUUAUUUUGCAUAAGAUUCAGAAUACUGUCAUAAUUAUUAAUGAGAAAGAUGAAGUUUGAAAGACUUCAACUUGCUCUCCACUCCAAUUCGUAUAUUUUGGAAAGGACGGAGUUCUCCAUGGGCCCUACAGAUACUAUAAUGAAGAUGCAUCCAGAAUGUAGACCUCCUAGGACCCAUACAACUCCUUCAUUGAUGUUGGUAACAUAACACACACAGCCUGCACUCAAGCUUCCCUAGUCCCUCCUCAACCUCAGUGGGUCAAUACAUCUGAAACUGAUGCCAAAUGAAUUCCCGUUGAAGGGAAUUAUGGAUAACUACAAAUGAUUUUAAGAGUCAGCUUCAUCAGUACAAGCCCCGGAAGCAGUUUGCUAGAAGUGUACUCAAACUCCAUGAGCAGACCCAUAAGUCGCAGCUGUGUCUUUGAUUGAAUCAGUAGGCUGUUUUCCCUCAAGAUUCGAACCAGAUAAAGGCAAUUGGAGUUAGGAUUGGUUGCACUUUAACUUCUUCAUGGCUUAUACACUUGGAAUUGCAGAUGAUAUGCAUUCCGCCAUUGACUAUAUAUCGUUGUGCAAAUGCUCAUAUUGAGGGUAUCGCUACAAAAUACUCUGAAACUGUCAAAACGAAAGUUAUUCAAGAAAAGAUGUCAAACUGACCUGAGAAUUUAUUGAAGAUCUCAGAGAUGAGAGGUUUGUUGAAUCCAAAAAAAAGAUGGCAAACAACUUGAUGCCGAUGUUCACCUCAAGCACGUCUGCGACGGUCAUGCUGCUACAUAUGCGGGGACAGUGAGUCCAUUGAAGAGAAAUCUUUUUAUAAUUUCCCAGAAUGUUUGGGAAGCAUCCCUGCAGUUUAAAUGAACUUCCUGAGAAGCGCUUGUGUGAUUUGCUAACCUGGCAGCCUGAGUUAAACCACUGUGAUAUCAGUGGGGGAAGGAAACAACAAGCGCUUGAUGAAGAGGCUGUACCCCGAGAGUUCAGAACUGGAGGUUAUGAGUGAUACUGUUCGAGAUUUACAAUCGGAAAGGCUUUCUAUAUGACCAGAAUACAGAGGAUUCUCAUAACCUUAUUAUGGAAAAUCUGCCCAUAAGGGACAUGGAUUGGUUCAAUCAGUUUUGACUUCCUUUACAACUAUCAGAAAAUUGUUUUACAAUUAAUGGAGCUGCAUACUUUUCGAGUUUAUUAAUGGAGGCCCUCAGUUCUGUAUUAGAUGCAAGCACAGACAAAGACGUUUAUGAGGCAGAGGAGUACAUGAGGAAAUUUGCUUUAUAGAAUGAUCCAGUUGUUCUAAUGAGCUUGCUUUUUGCUAAGUCGUCUGUAUGGAGACGUUGUAAUUGGGGAGCGUUCGGUUAAAUGGCUUCCAAGCCUGUGACUACUUCUCCUUAUGUAUUAUUAUCAAACUUGUAUGCUUCAGACGGGAAGUGGGAAAAUUUGAAGAACCUGUCAUUAGCAGACAACAACUUUCCUGGCUCAAUAUCAGACUCAAUUUCAGGCCAUAACCAGCUUAUGAGAUCACUUGUGAGUGGAGGUGGACCACUGGAACUUGCUAACAUGAAGGUGUCGGAUUUGAGCUACAUUCAACUAUCUGGAAAGUUACCUGGAUUUAAUUUUCUGUAUGCUCUCGAAGUCCUCAAGCCCAGCAACAACAGAUUUGCUGAGUCUAUCCCCAAUAACCUGCUGAAAGGAGAUCCUUUGGUUCUAAUUGAAUUGGAUUUGAGUCAACAAUUUUUCAGGGCUGAUAAACAUGAUCACAUCUACAACUUUGAACAUCCUUAAUCUCUCCUCAAAUGGGCUCUCAGGAGAGCUUCCACUACUGACUGGCAGCUGCGCUGUACUGGAACUGUCAAGUAAUGAAUUUGAGAGAAACUUAACUAAAUUGUUGAAAUGGGGAAAUCUUGAGGAGAUGCUCAAAGAGCAUGAGAAACAAAUCCAACAUGCUGUCCACAAGGCUCGUCUUGACAAAAGUGAAGACUAAGAUAACAUACAAUGACAACGGACAAACUGAAUCGUUGCUUCCCCAUGGGAGAAACAGCAGGUAACCCUUGAGUGGUGAUUAUUGAGCUUCUUGAUACGCUGGUCAGUUGUUUGGUUGCUGGAAAGGGUGAGCUGAGAGAGAGUCAAUUGCUGGAAAAUAUGUUUUGUGCAGCUGAAAACUGGUUUCCUCAUUCAAUUCUGAAGGACAAGGAGCAAGUGAAUUGUUUGAAGGGUUCAAACAAGAUGCCCAUUGUUUAGAGAAGUCAUCAGAAUCAAUUUCCUCAAGAUCUCUAGAAGCUAUUGAAGAAAACAAAAACCUGUACCAGAUUCUGAGUUGAAGGUAACAACAAGCAGCAUUGAGGUUGGAUCAGUGGAAACUGCACAGGAGGUGAAUGUUUCUGUCAGUUAUUGCAUAGAAAUUGUUAAGACAGUUGAAAAUUCAGUGGCACCUACUCCCACACGCAGUGCCAAUGAAGAGCUCAUGAUCAGAUAAGCAAUAAGUUUGAAAGACAUCAGGAUCUUCACCCCAUUCAGUAACUGCUUCCAAUCAGCAGUGAAGUGAAGAGCUGUGACUAAAUUUGCUCCAGAAAUUCUCCUCAUCAGGGCAGUGAAUUACUUUUCAUACCAAUCAGUCCUACUCCGGUGACCUAUUAUGUAUCAAUUUGAGUUUAUGGAUCCAACAGAGACACGGAUGGGGAAAGCUAAUUACACCAGGGUUCUUACUUCUCAAGAGCUACCCAAGUUUGUUGGAACUCUUCAUCCCUUACCAGAAGUCACCAAAACUUUGAACAAUAGAGAGCCCCAGAAAGUGCCGAGAGAGAGAGCAGAAUAUAUUUGGGGAUUCAACACUGGCAAGACAGUCUCAAUCUGAUUCCUAGGCUCCACCCACAUAAUUGCCACCUUGCCACAUAUCAUACUCCUGAUGUUUCUUUUCCUUUAUUUUGUGAUUUUAUACAUCUUAAAUAUAAAUUUCAAAAUCUUUUUCCAUAAAAAUAACUUUGGUUUUCUUCAAAAUUCCUUAGGAGCUUCUAGGUAUAAAAUCCAAAUUUUAACAUGCUAAUUGCUGCCACUUUCCUUCGGGCAUGCACUAUCUUCUUUGAUUUUUAACUAUUUUCGUGAUUUUCUUGAUUUUCAACAAGCAUGAAUAAAUUUUAUGAUUCCAAAUCAUGGAAUCUAUGGAAUCAACUCAUGCGAAAUUAAUUGGGGCUUUGGUGGGGGCCCGACAUUCAUGAUAUUAUCUUCAAUACUGUUUCUUGAUAUCUGAUUGAUUUUUUAUUCUUCUCGAUGAAAUACUUGAAUUCGCUUUAUAUUUAUUGUUGAGAUAUCCUUGUUUCCCAUAGACGUGUGGAUGCUCGCUAAAUCAGGUACGCUCUUCCCACCCUACAACUUUGAAAUUCUAUGGAUAUGUAUGUUAUCAUGAGCUAUGAUCCUGUUUGAUGGCAUGAUUGAUUGCCUUGAUGCUUGUUUGUUCAUCUUUGACAAAACACAUAUUAUGUGUCAUAUUUCCAAACUAAUCUCUCAUGUUUUAUGAUAGCGCUUGGGAAGCCGUCUAGGUACGCAUCCUUAACUUUCCUUCAUUGUUAUUCGAUCUUGUUAGGCAUGCAAUAUUCGAAAUCAUCUAGUCUACUUAGGUAUCCAUGAUUAACUGAUUAAUGGCCACACUUCCCUUAACUUUGCCAGUAGAGACCUCUUUAGGGCUUAGAGGGGUGCUACCUCCUAGAGGUACCUUCCCAAUAGGUAACCUGAUCCCCGGACUGAGACUCGGGUUUUUCAAAGACACGCUUCUCCAAAAAUUAUGGAGUCAUUUUUUAGGGUUUUAUUUCUUGUUUUAUUUUCCCUUCAAAAAUAAAAAUAAAAUAAGUGGCGACUCCAGUUUUUUUUUCAAUUUUCACAAAUAAAAAGCGAGUCUCGCCGAUCAAGUGGGGGCGCACGUGAAAAAUGCGGGUCCACAGAAUCAUAUCAACCUUUGUAAAUAUUUCAUCUCCAGUAAGUUCUUUUAGAGGUAACCUAAACUCUUGUUCACCAUUAAAUGCCUUCUUUUGCUUUCUAAAUGGAUGGUCACAUGGAAGAAACCUUCUAUGAUCGGUAUAUGAGUUCUUAUUCCCAUGUUUUAGCCAAUGUGAAUUUGUUUCUUCACCACAUAUUGGACAAGCAUGAUAUCCCUUAACAGUGCAACCAGACAAGUUGCCAUAUGCAGGGAAAUCAUUAAUCGUCCAUAACAAAAUAGCCUUUAAUGUGAAGAACUCUCGUUGAUGUGCAUCAUAGGCUUUCACCCCUACCUCCCACAAUGCUUUCAAAUCAUCGACUAAUGGUGCCAAAUAAACAUCGAUAUCCUUACCAGGCUGUCGUGGUCCUGAUAUUAGCAAAGAUAACAUCAUAAAUUUCCUCUUGAUGCAUAACCAAGGGGGAAGGUUGUAAGUUAUUGUGAGAACAGGCCAACAACUAUGCCUACUGGUCAUGGAGCUAUGAGGAUUGAUACCAUCUGCUGAAAUAGCAAGUCUAAGGUUCCUACAAUCUGAAGCAAAUUCAGGCCACAUUUGGUUCACUAGUUGCCAUGUUGGGGAAUCCAUUGGGUGUCGAAGUUUACCAUUAUUUUCUCUACCUUUUGCAUGCCAUUUUAGGUCUUUCGCUAUUUUGGGAGAUUGAAACAUCCUCUUAAACCUAGGGAUGGGUGGGAAAUACCACAAAACUUUUGAAUCCUCUUAGUGUUUCUUGCCCCAGCCUUGUUUACCUUCCACCUUGAUGUUCCACAAGUAGGACAUGAAGAUGCAUCAUUUAACUCAUUCUUGUAUAGUGUGCAAUCAUUUGGGCAUGCAUGUAUCUUUUUGUAUUCCAUCCCUAAUGCAUUCAAUGUUUUCUUUGCCUCAUACAUGGAUAAGGGCAUCUCAUUGUUGACUGGUAGCAUAUCCCCUAAUAUUUGGAGUAAAUCUGAAAAACUUUUAUCUGACCACCCAUACCGUGCCUUCACAUUGUACAAUUUAACUAAUGCAGAAAGCUUGGUGAACUUGAUACAACUAGGAUACAAAGGUUUUUCAGCAUCUUCAAGCAAUUUUUUAAAUGAGAUUGGGUCUAUCAUGAACUCAUCAUCUAUAACAUGAACCAUUUCUACUGUACUAGCAACAUCACCACAAUCCAUCGUGUCAUAACAUUGUGCCAUUUCACUUGGUUGUCUACUAGUAGGACCUGCUUCUCCAUGCCAAUACCAUGUAUGAUAACUCUGGUCAAUACCAUUGAAAAACAUAUGUUCCCAAAUCUUGUUAGGUGUAUGAUGUAUUAAGUUUCCACAUUGCAUACAAGGACAACAAAUUCCACUUUGAUUCGGACAAUGUUCUAAUGCAAAAUUAAUGAAGUAUUCAACUCCUUCCUCAUACUCCCGUGACAUUCUAUCUUUAGACAUCCAACUUCGAUCCAUUCUAUGAUUGAAAUACACAAUGAAUUAAUCAUGAGGAAUUUUAACAUUAAUGUUGUAUCAUAUCUCAAAAGGAUUCAUCAUGUAAUAUAUCCAUGUUGUCUACAAGUAUAUCAAAGUGGGAUAGUUAAUUAUAAAAAUUGUCUUAUUCAAUUCAUGUCAUUGUAGGUAAUGCUACAAAUUAUCCAUUUAAAAUUCCUAUUAGUUCAUGAUAUUCAUCUUAUUAAAUACAUUUAAUUUCAUUAGGUAUUGAACCAAAGUAAAAAAAUGUGGUUCUCUUAUAGAAUUAUGACCCUAUCUAGUUUAUGCACUACCAUACAAAUAAGAAAUAAAUACAUGUUACAUUUUUUUUAGUCUUUAUUCAAUCUCGAAUCGUUGAAGAUCAUUUAUUAUGCAUAUUUCUGUAAAAUUAAAAUAAAUUUAUAUAUCAAAAUAUUAAACCAAGAAACAUAAUUAACUAUCAUGAUUCUAUCUUCUUAAACUAAAAUCAACUUAAACUACAUGUCUUAUGCAUUCUAACAUCUCCAACUUCCUAGUUUAAGUGGUGGUUCCUAUCCCAUACAGGAAAACAUAAUCCCUACAUGUCAACUACUAUUAUGUUUUGUUUCAUUUUAGAAAAAUUUCGGCAGCAUUUCCCUAUAGUUCUCUAAUGGAGGACUGCGUGCAAGGCAUGUCAGCAUGAAAGCCAGCAACCAACAACAUUGUCUAUCAUCGUUGAUGCUCACAAUCGCAUGGAGCCACCAUUGCCACCCAGCUAUUUCGGAAAUGCUACUUUUCGGGUAACUGCUGAAAGCACGUCAAGGGAGCUAGUCUCCAAACCAUUAGGCUAUGCUUCAGGUAAAGCACGAUAGGCAAUAGAGAAGGCAACGCAUGAAUAUUUACAAUCAUCUCUUGUGUAUGUGAAAUGUCAGGAGGAUGUAACUCAGUUCAAGAAUUUCCACACCGUUGGAUGCACCAAAGGAGCUUUCUAUGGGAACCUUAAUCUUAAUAUCACUAGUUGGGCCAGACUACCCAUUUAUGGGGCGGAUUUCAGGUGGGGCCAGGAAAUUUACAUGGGCCCAGGAGCAAUUGGCUACGAUGGGAAGGUUUUCGUAUUUCCCAACUAGGGUCAAGAAGGAUCAUUCCAUGUUGUAUUGAGGCUGCAAGUACGCCACAUUGACGCUUUCCAGAAAUUCUUUUAUGAAGACAUUUGUCUUCAAAAACCACUUUUAAUUAAUCCUUCAUUAUAAAAUAAAGAUAAUGUUGCAAUUUCCCUUGGAUCAGUUUUUCUUUGGUAGAUCUUGUUCAACAAAGCUACUCUUUAUCAAGCCAAAAAUUUCUUUUAUUUCACUCUGUAUUUUCAAUCUGAUUUUUCAGACACUUUCUCUCCUUACACAAAAAUGAAAAAAUGUUGUGUCUUCAGAAUUACGCACUCUCUGAAAAAUCAAAGCCCUUCACUCUGCUCUCUUUUCCUCGUAUAUAGUUCAUGUUAGAAGAGAAAAUAAUAGAAAAAGAAACGAACUAACUAAUCAUUUUAGAUAACUGACAGAAAUUUAUGAGUCACACUUAUAACAGAUAUAUACAAAUAGCUGAAAGAUAAGAUGGUAUAUAAGAAAAAACUAAAAUGUUACCAAGGCUACAUUUUUAAGAUAAAUCAUAAAUACAAGCUUGAGAUCAACCGUGUGAUAUAUUUUCAAACAUGCGCUCAUAGGCUGUGGUUGACUAAUUCUAUAUACACAAAUUUUAUCUUUUACAAAAUCAAUUAAUAAAAUUAAUUAUAUAUACACAGAAUGUAAUUUUACAUGUACAUUCAUAUGUUGUACGCGCAGUACAAUAGAGAGUUAUUUCCUAGCCCAAUUAUUAUUAUUUUUUUAGGAGUUUCUUCAAAAAAGAAAAAAAAAAAAAAACUCUAGAUUUUGGUUGUAUAACGUGGGCAAAGUUGGUCCUUUCCAUGUAUGGGUCGUUUCCAUGUCUACGUCAAAGUCAGGUUGUCUACUGUGGUAUUUUGAUUUGCCAAUUUCCUGGCGGGAGAAUUGUGUUUUCACCUCAAGGUGAAUAAUUAAACUAAAGUCCUCCUAUCACUCAUAAUUGAUUAUAAGAAUAUAAGAUGAUAAUGGACAUAAAUACCCCUUUACUCAUUUUUGUCUUUAUUCUACCACUCUUUACAUGUUAUUAUUAACACAUUCUCUCUCCUUUAACCAUUUUUUUAUUUUUCAUUGGUUUUUUUAAACUUUUUUAUAAAUAAUUGAAAAAUCAACAUUAUUUUAUAUUUUUAAAUUAUAAAUAAACAAAAAUUAUAUUGAUGAUUCAAAAACUAUUUUGAAAAAUACUUUCUAAAAAAUGUUAAUUUUAAAAAAUAAAAAUUAUCUUUUAUAUUUUAGAAGUAAAUAAUUUAAUGAUUAAAACACUAUUUAAAAUAAAUAUAUUCACUAUUUUAUUUUCUUUUAUACUAAAAAGUAUUUUAAAAUUUUCUUUUUCCUAUUAUAAAAUAAAAGGUUCAAUUUUUUAUUUUUUUUAUUUUAAAAAAAAUUAUUUCUUUCUUCUUUUAAUAACUUUUUGAACAUAACUUUUAGUAAUAAGUUAUAUGAAAUGUUGUAAAUUUGUUUAAUAAUAAUGAUUUGAAUUAAUUAAAAAUUUAUCAAAAAAAAAUGUAAAAGAGAGAAAUAGGAUGGAUGAAAAGUUUUUAUUUUAAAUAUACAAUUAAAAUAUUUUCAUAUGACUUAAUUUUAGAAGUUAAUUAUAACUAUAUAUAGUAUAUAUUGAUUUUUUUCUUAAAUAAAAGGGUUAAAAGGUAUAUUUACUCAUUUCAGAUAAAAAAAAUUAAAAAUUAUAUAGAUUAUGUUUGAGUUUGGUUUAAAAAUAUUUUUCUAGUUUUUAUUUUUUAUUUAUUAUUAUUUUUUAAAAUAAUUUUUAUUUUCUAUAUGGUCUCUUUUAGAAAAUAUGUUUAAUUAAAAAAUGAAAACUAUUUUUAAAAAUGAAAAUUGAAAACCUUGUUUAAUACUAUUUUUCAUAUGAAAAUAAUAAAAAGACUUAAAAGAGUUUAAUCCUAAGUCAUACGUUUUAUUUAACUUCCAUAUGGAAAUUUCAAUACUUUCUACGGUAAUGAUGUUUAGAGAAAAAAAUUUGACCCUAAGUACCAUUUUCUCAACCAAACCAUUGAAAAUAUGAUUAACACACCUACGUAAACACAUAACUUAGAGAGAUAUGAAAUUUGUGUCAUUGUACAAGGGUAUUACACUAACUGUACAAUGAAAAUGUACUAAGUGUACAAGGGUGUAUAAGGCUACCUUUUGUAAAAGAUUUGAAUCGAUUAUGAACCACUCCAUUUUACUUUCCUUGUUGCCAACAUAUUGUACACUCAUAUCAUACACUUUAUUUAACUCUCACAUAAAAAUUUCAAUAUUUUCCCUAGUAAUGAUGUUUAGGGAAAAAAAAUUGACCCGAAGUCAUCUAAUAUAUAUUUUCUCAACCAAACAAUUAGAAACAUGGUUAACACACUUACGUGGAUACAUAAUUUAGAAGGAAUAUGAAACCACUGUACAAGGGUGUUACAUUAACUGUACAAGGGUGUUACAUUAACUGUACAAGGGUAUUACACUAAUUGUACAAGUGAAAUAUACUAAGUGUACAAGGAUGUACAAGGUUAGCAUUUGUGAAAAUUUUCAAUCAAUUAUGAAUUACUCCUUUAUUUUCCUUGUCACCCAAGAAUUGUAUACUUAUUACACUAAUUGUACAAGGGAAAUAUACUAAGUGUUACAAGACUAGUAUUUGUGAAAAAAUUCAAUCGAUUAUUAAUUACUCCUUUAUUUUCCUUGUUGCCCAAGAAUUGUAUACUCAUGUCAUACACUUUAUUUAAUUCUCAUAUGGAAAUUCUAAUGUCUUCCCCAAUAAUGAUGUCGAGGGAAAAAAAAUUUAAUCAUAAGUCAUCCAUAAUUUUCUCAACCAAAUGAUUAAAAACAUGCUUAACACACCUACAUAGACACAUAACUUAGGAAGGAAAUGACAUUUGCACCACUGUAUAAUAUUAUACUAAUUGUACAGGGGGAAUGUGACAAGUGUACAAGGGUGUACAGGACUCCUAAUAGGUUUUGUAUGAUUUUUAAUCAACUUGAAUUUGACAUUAGAACAAUUAUCGAUAGUUUUUUUUUUUUCUCUUUUUUGUUUUUUUUACCAAACUAUGCCAUUAAGACCAAUGAGAAAUAAUAUACAACAUAUUUAUUAUUUUUUAAGUAAGAAACAAAAAAAAUAUUUGCUAAGGUAUUUAAAAAAUAUUUAUUAUAUAUUUUAUAAGUUUGAAAAAAAAAUUUAAUGAUGUCGAAUUUGCAAGUUAGAACAAAUAAAGAAUACUAAUAUUUUAUGAAAUAUUUAAAAAUUGUUUAAUAUAUAUAAGAAAUAAUAUAAGUUUGAAAUAAAUAAUAAUAUUUAUUAUAUAUUAUGUAAGUUUGAAAAAAAGAAUAAUAUUUAAUAAGGUAUUUAAAAAUUAUUUACUUCAAAACUGCAUUUGACAAUAAUAAUUUUUAAUUAUUUAUCUUUCAUAUUCAAUUUGUUGGAGAAAAAUAAUUGGUAAAUCAUUUAACUUGAUCCCACUAAUAAAUAAGUAAGAGAAGGGUGAAAAAAUCAAAGAAAGAAAAGAGAAAGGUAGGAGUGGCUGGUAGCUUUUUCAUUUGAUAGUUAAGGGUAUUUUAAGGAUUUUUGAAUGGCAAUAUCCUUCUUCUCAAUUUCUAUUCUUUCCUUAGGUUUUGAAUUUAAUUAUAGGUGAUAGGAGGACCUUAUCUCAAUUAUCCAACCCAGCUGGGGUGGAAACACAAUUCUCCCUUUCUUGCCCAGCUCAGCAGAAAUUUGUCUGUCUUUUAAGGUAGAGUGCACUGCCAUCAUUGCAUUAUUUUAUUUUAUUGAGGAUAGUAUCGAAAAACACCUUCGUUGCCUUAUCAUUUUCCUAAUAAUGCAAGUAGUGCAACUCAACAACAUCAAAUAGAAAGUACUGAUGUUAAGUGCGAAUAAUGCAAGUAGUGCAACUCAACGACACCAAAUAGAGAGUACUGGUGUUAAAUGCAACCGUUGUUUCUUCAUGGCCACUAUGUUCAACAACUAGUCUCAAGCUUUACAUGUGAAAUUUAAUUCCAACUUUUAAAUAAAGAAAGAAAUAUGCUAUGGUAAAAAUAAUAAUAAUAAUAAUAAUAAUAAAAUAAAUAAAAUGAAAUUAUGUAUAAAGAAAGACUUAAAACAUAAAUGAAUGGAUCAACUAAUGUUCUGUUAAAGAAUUCAGAAGAAAGAAAUUUUUAGAUAGAUGAAUUGAUUUUCAUUGAUUGAUUGUGAUAAUAUAAAGGAGUUUCAAUCAGGGACGAAAAUAUCGCGAUAUAUCGUGUAUUGGGAGGUUCCGACACGAUAUUUUCCAACUGAUAUAUCGAGAAGGAGAAAUAUCGAAAAAUAUCAUCGAUAUAUCGACGAUAUAGAGGUUGUAGUUGAUAAAUCAACUAUUAAUGAAAAAAAUCACCUAUGAAUGCGAAAAAUCAUCGAUAUUUCAGCAAAAAAUCACCUUACAUUGUGAGCGUGAUCUGACGGCCCAAAUCAUGCCCGCAUUGAUCCGAUGCCCCAUAUUACACCCACGUUGAUCCGACGCCCCAAAUCACGUCCACGUGCAACAAUCAACUUCCUCGUUUGAUUCAAUGGCUAAGAUGACAAUCCAACAACUAUUUUGUGAGCCAACGGUAAAAUGAUGUUUGAACAACUUUUUUGGCCCAAAUUUUUGUUUAUAAAUAGUUCAUUUUGGAUCUAUUUGAUCCCCAUUUUAUUGCAUUUGAUCUCUCAUUGCUCAUAAUUUUUUUUUUAUUAUUUUCAAAUUAUUAUAAAUUUGGGAAAUUUCUAAGGUGACUCAUUUAUUCAACUAUUCUAACGUAUGUUUGUUUUAAAUUCUAAUUAAUUUUGUUUUUCAGUUGUAAUUAAUUAAUGUAUUUUCAAUUCAUUAGUAUAUUUUCUAAAUUAUCUAAUAUCACAAAUCAUAUCAUACAUAUAUCAAAUUCUUCAACAAAACAAUUUUAAAAUGUCUAUUAUAUUUCUAAUUACAUUAUUAUGAGGUUUUUCUUACUUUUUCAUGAGUUUUGAACAAUUUUAGGCCUAUAGAAAUUUUUUUUCAAAAUAUCCGCCGAUAUAUCUGUAAAAUCAAAGUAUCGAUAUAUUCGUGAUUACCGAUUUUUUUAUCCUUGGUUUCUAUAUUGAGAGAAUAAUACAACAAACUCUCAUUGGGUUAGUUCCAAAUUGUGGCAUUUAGUAACCAAUCCUAACAACUUACAAAUGAGUUGUCCUAACAUGCUCCCUCAAACUUAGGUAGUAAAAUCUUUUACUUUAUGUUUGUUUUUGAAAUUGAAAAACAAUGAACUCAACACUACCUUGGUAAGUAUGUCUACAACUUGAUCUUGAGCAAGGAUGUGUCUUACAUCACCUUGUUUGGUGAGAACUUUUUUUCCGACGAAGUAUAAAUCCAAUUCUAUAUGUUUUUUACAUGAAUGUUGGAUUAGGUUGGCUGCAAGUUGGAUUGUACUUAGAUUAUCACACCAAAUCAUGAUUGAAGUCUGCAACUUAGUCAACUUAAGUUCUUGUAAGAGAGAUUGAAUCCUUAUGAUUUCUACUACCAUACUGGCUAAACUUUUGUACUUCGCCUUUGUAUUGGAUCUUGCUACCGUUUGCUAUUUCUUAGAGUGCCAAGAAAUCAAGUUAGGACUUUGGUAGACACAAUAUGCUAAAGUUAAUCUUCUAUCAUUUUAAUCUAAUACCCAAUCGACAUCACAAAUGCCUAUCACAUUCAAAUUAUUGGAUUUAUUCAAGUAUAGGCCAAAAUCCAAGGUAUCACUUACAUACCAUAGUAUCCUCUUAAUUGCCUUCCGAUGAACUUCCAUAGGAUUUUGCAUGAAUUAACAAACCCUAUUAACACUAUAGGCAAUCUCUAGCCUAGUUAUCAUUGCAUAUUGUAAUGUACCAACUACACUUCGAUAAAGUUGUGGAUCUUGAAUAGGAUGACCACCGUAUGCUAAAAGUUUUAGGCAUGUUGUCAUAGGAGUAGUCAAUGGUUUAGCAUAUUGCAUUUUAGCUUGACGUAGAAGAUCGGUGAUAUACUUGGUUUGAGAUAAAUGCAGCCGUUCACUAGUUUCUUUAACCUAAAUGCCCAGAAAAUAGGAGAUAGGUCGACGGUCCUUCAAAGCAAAGUCGAAGUUCAAGCUGGUGAUAAGUUGCCUACACCUAAGUGAUCACUUCCGGUUCCAUGAUUUAUUAUAUGAAAUUAGAAUGUCCUACUAACCACCUGUGGAUUCACCUAGCAUUAUUAUUUUUUAACGACCACAUUUAUCAAACACGUCAAAGAGAGAAAUUAAGUGACUCCAUGUUGAACACUAUAAAAAUUCUUGCAUGAAAAGCAAUAAUUUGAAGUAAAAAUAUAAAACAAAAAAAUAAGUAAAAUAAAAUAUAAAUAAAAUUUUUCUUAUGGUUAGAAAAGUCGUAUAUAUAUUUAUAUUAUAUAUGAGGCUUCUUUCAAAUCUUAAGAAUUUUUUUAUUAACAUAAAGAUUAUUUGAAACAUUCCAUUUUCUAGGUAUCAAAAGAACUUUAUUAUCACAAGAUUAUUUUUGUAAGAAUUUUUUUAGAAUCAUGAUGAAAGAAGUAAGUGAAUGUUUGGUAAAUCAACUUAAUAAUUUAAAUUCACUUAAUAACUUAAUUUAAGUUAAUAAGUAAAUUAAAUUUGUUCGGUAAAAUAACUUAAUAAUAUGACUUAAAAUAAAAAACAACUUUAAAUAAUAAGUAAAAAUAAUUAAUUUAUUCUUAAGUUUAUAUUUUCAUUUUUACCCUUUUAUCCUUAUGUAUCCUAGUUACUUCCAUGAUAUUUUUUGCUAUUUUAUAACCUCCAUUAUUACUUAACCUCUUUUAUCUUAAUUAUAAUUUAUGAGGAUAAAUAUAUGAAUUUGAAGAUUUAGAAUAAAUUUUAAGUUAAUUUUAUCAAACAACCUUAAUAUUUAAAAAGUAAGAGUUAAAUAAUAAGCUCUAAGUCAACAACUUAAGUAUGACUUAACUUAAAGUCAACUUAAAUCAUUAAAUAAUAAGUUUUAAGUUUUAUCAAAUACGUCCCAAAUAUAGAACUUUAUUUCAAGAGCAAAAAUAUGAAAGGAAUUACUUGAAUUUGAGUGCAAACAAUUUUUUUUUCCAUUUUUAAACAUAUAUAAAAUGAAAAUGAUAAGUUUGACUUUUUAUUAAAAUAAAACAAAAAACUAUAAUAAUAAUAAAAAUAAAACUUAGAUGAUUUAGUUCUUUUUUUAUUUUUAAAAGUAGAAAUUUUAGAAACUUUAUGUUUGCAUUAUGUACUUAAAAAUUAUUUUGAUAAUAAAAAAAUUUAAUACCUUAAUUUUUUUUAAUUAAUUUUAAAAAUCAUUAUAUUUUCAAUUCAAGCUCUAAAAGUUUUUGUAUUUGUUUAUAAAAAUUAGGGUUAUUUGAUUAAAGGGUUAUUGAAAACUCAAUUUUGAAUAUUUAACCAUUUAUCCUUUUUUUACUUCAUUUUGAUAAAAAUAUCCUCAUUCUUUUUCUUUUUUUUAAAUAAAUAACAAAUUUUAAAAAAAAAUUUACAUAUAAAUACUUGAAAUGAUAAAGGGUAAUUAUAUAUAUAUAAUGUAUUAGGUUUUAAAUAAAAAUAUAAAAAGGAGUAGAUUUACAGGUUUGGAGAUUAUUUUAUCUAUUUUAACUAGUGUUUUAAAAAUAGAGGUUGAUCGGUCUGACCUAUCACCAAUCCAAUCCGAUUCGGCCUUUUAAGCCAGAUAGCUGUUGAACCGGCGUCAAACCUUCGAAACCGAAAGUCGAACCACUGAAUCGAACAGUUCAAAAAACCCUCAUCUCUUUCCCCUAUCCAGCUCCCUCCUCAAUCGUCGUCGCCCCCUUCUUUAUUCUCAAAUUUGUAACUAUGCCUCCACCCUCCAUCUAUUUCCAAUUCCUAGUGUGCACUCCUCACCCUCCCUCUCUUCCCAGUCCUAGCAUGUGCUUCUCCCACACUCCCUUUCUUCCUAGUCCCAAUGUACGCCUCUCUAUGGUGCCACCUGUGGGGGCCCUUCCCCACACGUCUGUCCACAUGUGCCUCCACGUAUCUAGAUACAUGGUAGCACCUCUCCUGGACCACGUGUCACUCCCUUCAUUACUAUUCGGACAACCAUCAAGGCAUACAGGAACAUUCUAUCUAAACCAUAUAGGCUCACUAAGCAUAACACACCUUCCUGAUAACCCCAAAUCCUCUCUAAUAUGUGAAAUGAUGGCAUUCUGACGCUUAAGUGGCUGAUGGGACCUUCCCCUUCCAUACAUUAACAUCAAUGAGUCAUCCUAGCCAUCACCCAUACCUUCAACAAGUUGAAUGAUGGCAAGCUGCGCCAUGACACGCCGUCUAACACAACCACUAGCCGUCUGGCAACUGCAAUUAUUGCUAUGUCACUUACUACACAGUCAUCAUUGCAGCAUUAGGUCAAGGUGCUAGCUAAUCACUACUGUGUUUUCCCCAUUUAAGCACUAUAAAAACCCCACUGAAAUAGGACUCAGGUACGCAACACCAAGGACUCCCUCAUCUACUUUCUCUUAAAGGGUUCCUACCCAUUUCAAUAUCUGACCUAAGCUUCGGAGAGUGUGUCCAGACAACCUGUCUAGGCAUCCUUUGUGCAAGGAAGAAGAAAACCCAGUCUCUAGCAGCUGGGCAGAAGCUUUUGCUGCCACAACCAAUGGAGAAGUCCAUUCUCAGUUGACCUGGUAUCAACAUAGGCAUCGUCUGUGGGAAUAAGAUAAAGAUGUCAACACCCUCAAGAAGUCGAUCGUCAGCCAUGGGUAGGCGCAAAAAUAUGGAGAGACGCCAAUGAGAAAGUGAGUGAUAAAUGCAAGCCUUGCUCCAUGAGACAAGGAGGCUUAGGGAGGAGAACGAGGUGUUGCGUAUCCAAGUGUCUUCAUCGGGCUCUCCUCAUAGCCGACAACCUAGAAGUCAGCAAAUGAACUUCAAGCAAAACGAGGAGGCAUCAUAUCCUAGGAAUGCAAAGUUCCCCUCUGAUGAAUAAGAAAUGCAGCCUAAGGAAAUAUCCCCACUAGCCUGCCACGCGCCACUAGAUGAAAACUCUGAUUCCACUCAUGUCUCAUAAAAAAAAAAAGACACAAUAGCAGGUCACAGCUAUCAGAUGCAAUGCGCGCAAGACUAGGGCCUCAAAUGCCUGGUAUGAGGGAAACCCACAUGUAGUAAUGGCCCAGGAGGCAUAUCCUGGUCCCUCGGCUACACCAAUCAUGACAGAUUGGCUUUCCCAUUCGCUAACACAACAACCAGUAGCGGAUCUAACAAAUCAAGGUCCCCUUGACUCUGUCAAUAAGCUACUGGAUAACAUGUUCUUCACGCCUUUCAUCCCUUACAACAUCAACUACGAGCCCCCAAGAGGGUUCAUGGUCCCAAAGUUUUCCACGUAUGACGGAACCAGCGAUCCAUUUGACCAUAUCAUGCAUUACAGGCAACUCAUAACCCUUGAAAUAGGGAAUGACGCGCUGUUGUGCAAGGUCUUUCAAGCUAGCCUCCACAGCCAAGCUCUUUCAUGGUGCCACCGCCUCCCGAUGAAUUCUGUGAAUAAUUUUCGGGAUCUAUCGGAGGCCUUUGUGGGACAAUAUUUAUGCUCAGCAUGACAUAAGCAAAACAUCAGUAGCCUACAGAACAUAAAGAUGCAGGAGAAUGAGUCAUUGAGAGAAUUUGUGAAGAGGUUCGGACAAGUCGUGCUUCAAGUAGAAUCUUGUAGCAUGGACGUUGUCCUUCAAAUUUUUAAAAGAAGUAUCUGUCCAGGUAUACCCUUCUUUGAAUCUCUCGCCAAAAAACCUUCAGCAACGAUGGACAACUUGUUCAAACGAGUGAACAAGUACUCCAUGCUUGAGGACGACAUCCACGCAGCUACUCAGCAGGCCCUGGUCACCAGUCGGAAUACUAGGAACGACUCAGACGGGAGCUCUAAGCCCAUAAACUAAUGGAGGCAAACUAGUAAGGGGCAGGGCAAACAAUAACAGCUAACCCAAGCUAGCCUCACCCUCCUCAACAUCUCAUACGAAAAACUUCUCCCCAUGAUCUGAGAUUUGUCCGAUUUCAGAUGGCCACAGCCAAUUAAGGCAGAUCCGGAGAAACGAGAUCGAAGCAGAAAAUGUGUUUAUCAUAAAGACCAUGGUCACACCACAAAGCAAUGCAAAAGUCUCCACUGCCUAGUAGAAAUAGUACGUCCGCUCAGAGGGAAGACAUUGAGCCAAGCCCCCACAAAUUUGACUGCCCCUAGAACCGUAAUCAACUACAUUCAUGGGAGUGUCGUGGAUGAGAAAUACAAUUUUAAAUGGAAAAGACAAAUGUUACUUCGAGUCGCCUCUGUAAGAGAACAGGUUAGCUCCAUCCAACCUGACUUGCCCAGUGGGGGCACGAGCCCAAUAGAUGGGGUAAUUACCUUCCCUCUAGUAGACCCCAAUCAGGUGUUACAGCCCCAUGAAGAUGCUUGAUCUUGACACUGGGAAUCAUCGAUUUCGAUGUAAGGUGAAUUUUGAUUUAUCCGGGUAGUUCAGUCGACUUGUUACAAAUGUUCGCGUACAAACAAAUGGGGUUCCCAUCAUCUGCCCUAGAGAACCCCGGGUGGAUACUAUUAAGAUUCAAUGAAGCCUCAACCACUUCUCUAGGAGAUGUCGUGUUACCUGUCCAGGCUAGACCAGAUAUCCAGAAUGUGCAAUUCUUAGUGGUGGAAGACUUGUCCCCUUUCAAUGCUAUCAUGGGACGCACCUGGCUACAUGGCAUGAAGGUCAUCCCUUCUAUGUAUCACAAAAUGGUAAGUUAUCUAACCGACGACAGACAUAUCAACCUUUUUGGCAGCCAGCUAGCUGCACGACAAUGUUAUUAGAUAGCACAUGAAUCUAGAUCCUCCAAAGAUAAUAAAUUGCCCACGGAACAGACUAACAUGGAGCAAUAAUAGCAAUUAUAGAGCCCGGUAGAAAGUGAUCCAUCGGCAGCUGACCUACUCCUACCCUUAUGUCUUUCUCAUAACAAUGAAUGUGUUACUCAUGUCAACUCCCUACAAGCACCUGAAAAAUGUGAAGUACUCAAAGUAGUGCUUUGGCAAAAUGAGGAGGUCUUCGUGUGGACUCAUUUUGAUAUGCCCGAAAUCCACCCUUCAAUAGCCUCAUAUCAACUAUAUAUCAUACCUUCUUUGCGGCCUAUCCGACAAAGGGUCAGACGCUUCCAUCCGGAGAGGCAAAAGAUCAUCCAAGCUGAAGUGGACAAGCUACUGGCAAUUGGGUUCAUCAGGGAAGUAGAAUAUCUUGAUUGGCUAGCAAAUGUUGUUGUGGUCCCAAAGAAAUGAGGGAAGUGGUGAGUCUGUGUUGAUUACACUAACCUAAAUGAUGCCUACCCAAAAGAUAACUUUCCUUUGCCCCAGAUAAAUCAGAUAGUAGACUCCACUACUGGGCACGGGAUGCUCUCUUUCGUAGAUGCUUUUUAUGGAUACCAUCGGAUUCCUAUGUUCCAACUGAACAAGGAGAAAAUCGCCUUUGUGACACCACACGGGUUGUAUUGCUACAAAGUCAUGUCGUUUGGACUCAAGAACGCUAGAGCCAUCUUCUAAAUGCUAAUGACAAAGAUUUUCAAACCACUAAUCAGCCACACAGUAGAGGUAUACAUCGAUGACAUUGUAGUAAAGAGCAAAACUAGAAGUAAACACACCCAACAUUUAGAAUAAACUUUUCACUUGAUGAAAAUGUACAACAUGAAGCUCAACUCGGCCAAAUGCGCCUUUGGAGUCAAUGCAGGUAAAUUCAUGGGAUUCAUGGUAACACAAAGGAAUAAAAGUUAGUUUGGACCAAAUCAAAGUUGUCAUGGAAACACCCACCCCAAAUUCUAAGAAGGAAUUGUAGUGUCUCACUGGCCGCCUAGUCGCACUAGGACGCUUCAUAGCCUAUUUCACAAACAAGUUAAGGUUUUUCUUCCUCACACUAAAAGGAGCUAGCGCGACAGGAUGGACAAACAACUAUGAGAAAGCAUUUGAGGAGAUUAAACGCUAUCUCACACAGCCACCAUCCUGAGUAGUCCUCAACCCGGUGAGCAACUGUACAUGUAUCUAACAGUAUUUGACUGGGUUGUCAGUGUUGUGCUCUUUUGCCACGUGAAAGACAAGUAACAGAGGCUCAUCUACUACGUGAGCAAAUCAAUGGUUGAGGCGGAAGCUCGAUACUCCAAGAUGGAACAAACAACUUUGGCUUUGAGAAGUGUUGCACAAAAACUUUGCCCUUACUUUUGAGCCCAUCAGAUGACUAUACUCACAAACCAACCACUUAGAAGAAUUUUACAUAAAACCGACUUAUGUAGGAGGAUGCUGAAAUGGGCCAUAGAACUAAGUGAGUAUGAGAUCAAAUACCAGCCUAGACUGGCAAUGAAGGGACAGGUCAUGGUGGACUUUAUAGUUGAGAUUCCUUAGAAACCAUCACAGCUUGUAGAUUCUCUUAAAAAUGGAUGGUGGAUACUUCAUGUUAAUAGAGCAUCCGGGGUCUCUAAAGCCGAAAUAGGCCUUCUCUUACAAUCCCCAACCAGAGAACAAUUGGAAUAGGCUAUCAGGCUUGGGUUACUUGCCUCCAAUAACAAAUCAAAGUAUGAGGUAAUCCUAGUCGGGUUGAAUCUUGCUCUUACUUUAUCGACAACUGAGUUGGAAAUAUGCGGCGAUUCCCAGCUAGUCAUUGGACAAAUUUUGGGAUAAUACGAAGCCAAGGAUGAACGCAUGACCCGAUACCUUUCAAAGGUACAAGCAAAUUUAAAUAAACUAAGCAAAUGGGUCGUCAAGAGAAUCCUCAGCACAGAAAACAUAUAGACUGACGCCCUAACUAAGAUAGUUGCUACUCUCCCGAUAAAAGAAGUCGUAUUACUACCCGUCUACCUCCAAGCUACAUCGUCAAUGGCAGACGGUCCAAUAUGCAAUGCCAGUGAAACAGAUGUCAACUGGAUGCACGAGAUUGAGGCAUAUAUCCGGACAGGAAAAUUACUUGAAGAUAGAAAGCAAGCUCACAAAAUCCGGGUACAGGCGCCGCCUUCACUCUAAUCGAAGACAGCCUUUACAGGCGAUCUUUUGGAGGAUCGUACUUCAAAUGCUUAAAAUAUGCAGAAGCAUGGUACGUAUAGGUCGAGCUUCAUGAAAGUGUGAAUGGCAAUCACAUAAGCGAAUGUACCUUAGCGCAUUGUGCUCACUCACAAGGAUACUUUUAGCCCACCAUAGGACAAGACGUUGAUAAAUAUGUCAAAAAGUGUGAUUGAUGCCAAAGGUAUGCACCUAUUCCUCGUAUGCCCUCCAAGAUCCUCAAUUCAGUCACGAGUCCUUGGCCAUUCGUACUAUGGGAAAUGGAUAUAAUUGGCCCCCUACCUGUUGCAGCUGCAUAGAAAAAGUUUCUACUUGUAACCACGGAUUACUUCAACAAAUGGGUAGAGGUAGAAGCUUAUGCUAACAUCAAGGAUAGGACGUUUCCAAGUUCGUCUAGAAAAAUAUCAUCUACCAGUUUGGAAUCCCACAAGCAAUUGUAGCUGAUAACAGGCCGCAAUUUGAUAGUAUCGCCUUUAGAACCUUCUACUCGGAGCUAAAGAUCAAGAAUUUAUACUCCACGCCACAUUACCCUCACAAUAAUGGACAAGCGGAGGCAACGAACAAAACUCUACUCUCUGGGCUGAAGAAAAUACUAGAAAAAGCCAAAGGAAAAUGGGUAAAUGAACUACCCGGAGUUUUGUGGGCUUAUCGAACGACACCUGGUUGACCAACGAGAACCACUCACUUUGCUCUCGCCUAUGGAAUGGAGGCAAUUAUCCCAUCCGAGAUAGGCAUGCCCACAACCAAGACGAUCAUCCAAGGCCAGAGAUACGAGAGUCGGGAGCUUGAAAGACACCUAGAUUGGGCAGAUGAGGCAAGAGGGAAUGCAGUCAUCCGGAUGGCAUCCUAUCAGCAAAGAGCUAUUGCCCACUACAAUAGGAAGGCUUAGUCGCGCACUUUUAGGACUAGGACUCUAGUCUUCAAAAGAGUCUUUGAAAACACGGCUGAAAGAGGGGUUAGAAAACUUCAGCCAAACUGGGAAGGACCCUACGUAUUAUUUAAGGUAGAAGACUCAGGGGCUUACCCUCUGCAAAUGCUAGACGGAGUGCCCCUGCUCCGCCCAUGGAAUGUAUCUAACUUGAAGCAAAACUAUCAGUAAAUUGGGUUUAAGGAAAGAAGAUUUAGUAAGAAAACGCAAGUAAAAAGAAACAAGUCUGCAUUGAUAGAAAGUGUUCAUUACAAGGUCGUGUCCAGAUAAAACAAUAAACGAAAAAGGGAAAAAAAAAAGUGCAAGAAUACAAUCAUUGCUCGUCGAAGGGCCUAACUGCAUCUGAAUCCUUAUCUCCCUAGGCGGAGUUGCUGAUUAUUGCAUCUUCCUCAUCGGAAGGGUAGUUGGGGAUAUCAUGAGUAAUGUCGUUCUUCCUCAUACAGUAUUGGUAGCCGAAGAAGAACAUAUCAUCAACUUGCUUAUGAUAAUCCUCCUCUAGCUCAUUCUUCUCGGCAGCAAACUCUACCCGAAGCUCCUCUAGCUUAUUCUUUCCUUGCAUCGGAAGUCAUUCCAAGCUCCUCCAGCUCUUUCUUCAGUUGGUCUUUUUCCUGCUCCACAUUCUUGCACUUAGCCUCCGUAGUCUCCAUUUCUUCUCUCAUCUGGCACACCUCGGCUUUCACUACCUCCCUUUCCUCUUCUAUCUCCUUCAACAACUUUCCUCUGUCUGUGAUAGCUUUCUGAGCGGCAACCGGGUCAUUCUCCGCCCGCUUAAGUUGGGUAUGGAGCUCUUCGUUGCUAUCCAGUUGCUAGGUAAAAAAUCCCCUCAUAGUCUCCUCGACCUCCAACCAUUUGAAGAGUAGGGCCUACUGGCGCAUUAAGUUACGAAUAGCAAUCACUACUUGAACGACAUUAAAGCAAAUGUUAGAAGUCAGACACUGAGGAAACUUAAACUAAGAAGGAGCAAGCCUUACCACUUCCGUCGUCUCAACAGUAGUGUACUACUGCAUCAGUUGAAUACAGAGGAAAACGGAUUCCAAAGUGUCAUGAGGGAGGCGAGGUGCAGCAGUUAUUAGGGGGUUGUCGGGCAUGUCAACAAAAUACUAACGGGUAAGCAGAAAGAAAUCACCCAUAUCAAUUGAAAGGGGCUCAAGCAUAGUGAAGUAGGUGACCUACUUCAACAAUGCCGCUAUCUCUUCCCGAGCCAGAAACGGGAGAGCUAACCGAGGCAUCUUUGUCAGUGAGAUCAUUACCCAGAGUUUGACUAAUAGAGGUCUUUUCUUGCACUGGGCAGGCGUUCUUCUCAACAAAAAAACUCACGACCAACGCUUGGUCGGACCCAACAACAUCAGAUGGAGGCAUCAUCACCAGAUGAGCAUCCGAGACCGGCAUUUUAGGAGAGACCUCAGAGCAAGUCCUCUUAGCAGGUAAAGGGGCAACUAGAAGUGACUCAAAGAGGCAUUUACGCUACCUCUCCUUGAAACCAACCCUUAGGUUAGGUGUCAUUUAUUCUUCUUCUUCUUCUUUUUCUGGCUCAAGGAUGAUGCAAGGCGCCAUUGGCUCAAGCUCCUGAUUCGGAUUGGCCCCUAUGAAGGGUGAGCCGGUUAAGCCCUAAUCGGUGUCUGCAUCAGAAGAAAGCAAAUGAGAAAAAGCAAAUGGAGAUAGGUCCAACGCCUUCUCGAUAGGGCGAAAGACAGCUUCCUCUUAGUAGGGGAUGAGUAGUAGAACUGGUGGUCGGACGACUUAUGCCCGGAGCUUGUCUUAGAGUCCUCUUCUGACACUUUUUCUCUCUCUAAUCAAGCCUGUCUUGUCAAACCUCCUCAUAGAAAGGAAGAUAUUUCAAUACGUGAUGUUUGUCGGGCACCAAAACUUUAGGCACAAGACGAGGAAAGAUGGGAAGGACGUAAGGUUGCGACUCCCAGGCCACUGCUAGCAAGUUCCGAUCAAUCAGCAGAGUAUGAUGAUGCCGCUAAUUAGUAGAAAUCACAAAUAACUUGUUGAGCCGGUCGAAAUUAGCUUUCUCCACCCACUCUACCGGUCGACAUUUCUUCUUCUUUCUUAUAGCACACAAAGUAAUAAACAUCAGCACCGAGCCGACUAUUAAUAAAGUUGUAAGGAUAAAACAAGAGGGAACUAUGGUUUAUUCUACCCAGAAUUGCCAACGAACGAUGUAGUUCGAACUCUCAACCCGGGUGCUCGAGUGAACCAGCCUAGGGCCCCGAAACAACGACAUACCCCUUAGUCGCACCCUUAGUAGAAUCCGAAAGCCCCGUCACCAACUGAAGAGAAGGGAUAUGAGCGGACAAGCUGAAUAUCCUUUUCCCACUCAUCUUCAUAGUGUAAAUAAAAAAGAUCUCUAACAAAGAAAGAUCCAAGUGGAAUAACAUAUCCAAAAUGGUGCACCCCAUCAGUACUCUGACCGCAUUCGGAUGAAGAAAUGAUGGGGAAAUCUUCGUGAAGUGAAGAAACUGCCUAAAAAGUGAAGGAAGAGGGAAGUGGAGCCCAGUAUUAAAUUGCUCUUUUCUGAAGACGGUAGCAUUGAAGGGUUCUUUUUCGGUAGACACAGGGCCACCAUCCAUCAAGUGAGUAGCAAGGCUAUUCAGAAUGCGGAAGCGCUCCCUAAACUUUCACUCAGAAAGGAGUUCGAUAAGCUUUUCCGAAUGGGUGCAACCGACACUUUCUCUUGGUCGGUCACCUUUCUUGCCCUUACCAACCGCACUAGUAGAAGCAACACCCCCUAUUGUUGACAUGUUGAAGUAGUGGGUUGAGUAAGACCUACAUGACACAACGACCGAUUAUUAGAAAGUAGUCACCCGGCCCUUUUAUCGAUAUGUAGUACCUCAGAAGUGCAACGAUCAGCCAACACAAGCCUAAGACCCACAUUUGGAUGGAGCGCUUGACCCAGCCUAUAGGGCAAGCCCUAACCAAGGUUCCCCCUAACCAUACCCUACAGAAGCCUUAAACCAAAAAGCCUAACAACAGCCCUAAAAAACCAAUCGAAAGGCAAAAAAAACCCUAGUUCUAGCAAACGUCGUCAAUUGAACCACCGACGGUGACUCCUCUUCCCAAAAAAACACCAAAACCCUACAUCCUACACUCAGCGACGUCCAUAUUGAACCUAGAAAAGCCACAAAUAAUCCCAAUAGCAAUUAAGUGCACCGUUGAAAAUAAAAAAAAGUCAAUACGAGGGAUUAACGACUUACCUAAAACCAGGAGAAGCACCGUUGACAGAAACGAAGUUCACCCUAAAGCAGAACUGGUACAGAUGGUGGGACCACCAGGAAAAUGAACGGUAAACCGAAAUCACUGUAGCAUAGAAUGCAAAAGCAGUCAGAGAAGAUGAAUGAAAAAACAACGAGGAAAGCGACAAUUGGAGUUGCAGUGGGCAUAAUGCAGAUGAAAUGAAGGCAAGAUGAAGAGUUGCAAGAGCAAGAAAUGUCCAAAAAGGGUGUUCCUAAAGGCCUGGAAUCUCUAAUUUAUAGGGGACCAAAACCCUAGGGAUCCCAAAAAACAGGCCACCUAGGAAUGCGUCCCAAAGCGACACGUCGCCUAACAAAUGCCUCAGUGGAAGUGACCUUCACUUAAUGACCGACACAUGUCUCGCUGACACUAGGGGAUCCCAAUGGCCAUUUUUAGCCAGUCCACUUCUACCCGAACACGGAUGCACGUGCUAAAGGGGGCAUUGUGGGGGCCCUUCCCCACACAUCUGUCCACAUAUGCCUCCAUGUAUCUGGACAUGUGGCAACACCUCUCCUGGACCACGUGUCACUCCCUCCAUUAUUGUUCGGACAACCACCGAGGCAUACAAGAACAUUUUAUCCGAACCAUAUAGGCCCAUUGAGAGUAACACACCUUAUUGACAACCCCAAAUCCUCUCUAAUAUGUGAAACGAUGGCAUUCUAACACUGGAGUGGCUGAUGGGACCUUUCCCCUCCAUACGUCAACAUCGAUGGGCAAUCCUACCCAUCACCCAUACCUUCAACAGGCUAAAAUGACGACAAGUUGCGUCAUGACGCGUCGUCUGACACAGCCACUAAUCGCCUGACAACUGCAAUAAUUGUCAUGUCACUUACUACACAAUCAUUAUUGCAGCAUUAGGUCAAGGCGCCAGCUAAGUACUACUAUGCUUUCCCCCUUUGAGCACUAUAAAAACCCCACUGAAACAGGACUCAGGUACGCAACACCAAGGACUCUCUCAUCAACUCUCUCUCAAAGGGUUUCUACCCAUUUCAAUAUCUGACUUAGGCUUUGGAGAGUAUGUCUGGACAACCUAUUCGGGCAUCCUUUGAGUAGGGAAGAAGAAAGCUCAGUCUCUAGCAGCUAGGUAGAAGCUUUUGCUGCCACAACCAAGGGAAGAAUCCAUCCUUAGUUGACCUAGUAUCAACACCACCCAACACCCUCUCCACCCUCCGUCUCUUUCUAGUUUCCAGCGUGCGGCUAUCACCCUCCCUCUCUUCCCAGUUCUAGGAUGCGCUUCUCUCACACUUCUUCUAUUCCCAGUCCCAAUGUGCACCUCUCCGUGGCGCCAGCCAACACACCACCCCCCUUCCCCUUCUUUCUUCUACUACUGCCCAUAUUCUCCUUUCUUUUUUAGUUGAACUCUCUUUCUUCUUCCCACCUCUAUCAUGAACACCUCCCAUUUCAUUUCCUGGUUUUUUUAUUAUAUAUUUUUUAUAUUUUCAUUUACCUUUUCCAUCCAUAGCCAUUCUUUUAUAUAUAUAUAUAUUUGUUUUUUUAAAACUUUAUGAUUUUUAAAACUUGUGAUUUUAAUUUAAAUUAAUGAAAACAUCAUAAUUUUAAAUAAAUUUCUAAUUUUAAAAUAAGUUUUUGAUUUAAAAAUAAAUUUUAAAAUUUUAAAUUUUAAAUUAAAUUUUUUAUCUUAAUUUAAAUUUCUACUUUGAAACUAAUUUUAUGAUUUUCAAAUAAUUUUAUGAUUUUCAAAUAAUUUUUAAUUUUUAAAUAAUAUAUAAGUUAAUAAUUUUAAUUUUAAUAAUAUAUAAAUUAUAUAUUUAUAUUGUCACCGAUUCGACUGUAGUUCGAUCGCUAGUCCAACUAGUGAAUCGUGAACCAACAACUUUUCCGAUUCAAUAAUCGGUCUGAUUUUGAAAACAUUGAUUUUAACUAAUUAAUUCUAAAAGUUAAUAUAAUUUUACAUUUCUAAAAUGGAAAAUUUGAAGUGUAUGUAAAUUGACACUUAUUUGUUUAUUUAUAAAUUUUAUUUAUUUUUAUAUACUUAAAAAAAUUUAAAUAAAACAAAUGGCUACCUCACUCCAUUUGGAAUUAAGAAUAAGAAUGAAAAUAUACUUAAAUAGUAAUUAAGACGAGGGUGGGAAAGGUGAGCCACCUAUACCCGAGGCUUUACAUCCCUAGAUAUAAAGCUUUACUAGGUCAUGUUGGCAUAUUUUUCUUAAUAACAGAUUAUUAAGAGACACUCUAUUUGAUUGGUGAAUUGAGUAUGGGAAAUUUUAGGAUGUCAAGUUCAUAUUUAUUGAAUUUACAAUCUCAAUCAUGAAUAUGUAUAGUGAAAUCUAAACCGUUGAAUGUUGAUAUAAAUAAAUAAGAUCAUUGUACAAAUAAAUGAUAUCAAAAUAUAAAUGAAUGAAAUUAAAGUACAAAGUAAUGAAAAUUAGAUACAAAAUAUUAGGAAUAGAUUAAAUAUAUGACAAGUUGGAAUUAGAUCCAUAUUUUGGUAGGUAAUAAUGAUUCAAUAUCGGUACGGAUACUCAUGAUUUAUAAGGAGUGAGUAGUAGAUGGCAAGACCAAUUUUGUUUUGAAAAGGGAAGUAAAUGGGAAGGCACAUUUACCAGACUUGACAUUAAAUAAUUUUAUAAGAAUUUAUUUUGAUUUUGAACAUAUUUUAUAUUUGUCUAAUUGUUUUUAUAUAGUAUUUUUAAUAAUAAUUUAAAAUACGAAGAACACUCUAAAAUUUUUUAUAUUAUAUAUAAAUUUAUAAUAUUUUUACGAAGAAACAAGCUCAAAAAAUUCUUAUAAAGAAAUCCAUUUUUUAGAAUUAUUAUCAAAAUUAAGCUGUUUUUAGAUAACUAUUUUUAAAACAUAAAUAAAUAAUAGUGGUCGACAGUUUACAUUAGCGAGAAGGGCGAUUAUUAUGUAGGGAUAGUUGGUCCUUUCCAUUUCUGAAGUCGGACUGUAUGAGGUAUAAUUUAUUUUGCCUACUUCUAUCCCCCCUGGGCUGAAAAUUAGAAGACGGCAGAGCUCGGCCCCAUACCUUGUCCUGACUCCUAUGUGCUUUAAAAUCACAUUAUGCACAUGCAUCGAACUCAGCCUUUGAAGCUCUUCCAUCACUGCAUUCAGAUGACCUAGCCAAAUCCAGUGGAGCUAGACACUUGAAGAUGUCACAACUGGUUUUCCUUGAAAAGGAAGCCCAGAUUUCUUUUAAGUACUUGGACAUUGUCACAUCUACCAAAGGCUUGAAAACGUUGGUUUGUCAUGAUUUUUUCCACUUCUUAAGGGUGGGUUGGUUUGUUUGUUUGUUUUUUUAAGUAUAAAUCUUUAUAUUUCUCCAUUGUUACAUUGUUACAUCUACGUAUCAAGCUUUGGAAGUGGCAUGCCUAAGUAUUCUUCCAUGGGAAAGCUUUUGGAGCAAAUAAUUAAGCAGGAGAUUUUAUUUUUUAACCUAUUAAACAGGUGUUUAGCAAAUCAACUUAAUAACUUAAAAGUGACUUAAUAACUUAAUUUUAAGUAAUUAAAUAAAUUAAAUAUAUUUGAUAAAAUAACUUAAUGAUAUAAUUUAAAAGUAAAAAACAACUUUAAGUAAUAAAUAAAAAUAAUUAACUUAUUUUUAAGUUCAUAUUUUUAUCUUCAUUUAUCAUAAUUAUUUUCAUGAUAUCCUUUAUUAUUUCAUGACAUUUAUUAUUACUCGACAUCAUUUAUCCUCGUUAUAAUUUAUAAGAAUAAAUAUAUUAAUUUGAUGUUUUAAAAUAAAUUGUAAAUUAAUUUUAUUAAAUAAUAUUAAUACUUAAAAUAAGAAUUAAAUAAUAAGUUUUAAGUUAACAAGUAUAAUUUAAGUUAAAAAAUCAAGUUAAGUGAUUAAGCCCCAAAAUCAAGUAUAUUGUAAGCAAAUGUUCUAAAUUUUUUUGUACCAUAUCUAGUUUACUUUUUAAAAUAUUUAGGCAUAGUUUACUUUGCCCACUCUCCUGUCCUUCAUUGGCUGAAAAUUAGAACACGUCAAGUCCCCAUACCUUAUCCCUGGUGGCUUUUAAUGCACAAUGCAUCUCACCCUUGGAUGCUCCUAUCACUGCAUUCAACCAAAUCCAGUGGGGACAAACUUGGUGAUGAUUUGUGCAACUGUUAUUCCUUGAAAGUGAAGCCCACAAUCUUUUUAUUUUUUUUAUUUUUUUAUUUUUCAGGUUAAUGAAUGGCUACUAAUGGAUUUUCAACAACCAGUCACACGUUAAAUAGAUAAGUAUGUAUGACUGAGAUGAAUGAGAAGUGGAUUAUGUAUAUUACAAAGGAAAUUAAUUGUAAAAGAAUUUUAAAUCAAGAAUUUAAAAAAAAUAAUAAAAUCAAGAAUUUUAAAUAAUAAAAUUAAUUUGAAAAAGAAUUUUAAAUUGAGAAUAUAAAAAAGAACAAUCUUUUCAAAAAAAAACUUAAGAAAUUUGGAAAGGAAUUAAAUCAAGAAUUUAAAAAAAAAAAAUUCUAAAUAUUUUUUAACUUCAAAAAGAAAAAAAAAAAAAAGCAUUUCCAAAUCUUUCUAAGAUUUUUAAACUUGUUAAAUUAUUUUUUUUCUUUUGUACAAUAUGAUUUUAAAAAGUCCACAAGAUUUUCUCUAAUUUAUUCUUAUUGGGGAGAGUUCUUUCCAAAAUUCAUGUGUUUAAACUUUAAAUCAUUAUUCUUCAUAAUUAACCCUAAACUCUUAGAUUGCUUUUUUAUUUUUUAUUUUUAUUAUUUUUUUUAAUUUUUGAAUUUGUAUAUUCUCAAAGUGUUGAAGAGUCCACGAAAGAAUAUAGUAGCGCUACAUUGCAAGCAUGAGAUUAGGUAUAAAUUUUAAAAUAUAGAGAGUAGAAACCAUCAUGUAAAUUAAAAAAUUAAAAUCUGAACUAAAAAGGAAUUAAUAGAUAACCGCCCUUAUAUAUAUAUUACUCCCAGAUAAGAAACUACAAGAAUUUAAAUAUAUAAAAAAGAAAAUUAUAUUUUAUUUUUUCUUUAAUGGAAAACCGCUUUCAUUUAUAGGUAGGAUUAUUCGUGGAUUGAACAGUAGUUAUAUAAAUGUAUAUUGCCAUUAGAAUAGGAUUGAAAGUUAGGUUGCAUGCAGCCAUGGGCGCUAUAUAUAUACCCCUCUUCUAUUCUAUUUUACAAGGCAUUCAUAUAAGGUGCUGCAAAUCGCUUAUCCUAUUCAAGUUCUUCCCCUGGGUUUGUGUCUCCAGAAAAAGAAAAAUGGUGAAAUUGAUGGCUACUUACACGGUGAGACCAGCCAAGGAGACACCGGGAGGCUACAGGUGUUUAUCAGACAGUGAUCAAGUUAGAGCUCUCACUCACGCACCCACCAUCUACUUUUACCCACCUGUAAAUGUGUCCCUUGAAUCGGCCACCGAGAUUCUGAGGCACUCUCUGAGUGAGGCGUUGGUGAUUUUCUAUCCACUAGCGGGACGCUUGCACUGGAUUGGUGGAGGCCGCCUUGAGCUCGACUGCAAUGCCUUGGGGGCUCUACU
This 85244-nucleotide long non-coding RNA is filed under the name Vitis vinifera (wine grape). RNAcentral describes it as "long non-coding RNA (VVIN_LNC003470)". The record is from RNAcentral. Lineage: Eukaryota; Viridiplantae; Streptophyta; Magnoliopsida; Vitales; Vitaceae.